RNAcentral lists this long non-coding RNA (57060 nucleotides) under Medicago truncatula (barrel medic). RNAcentral's name for it is "long non-coding RNA (MTRU_LNC007681)". Lineage: Eukaryota; Viridiplantae; Streptophyta; Magnoliopsida; Fabales; Fabaceae. The record is from RNAcentral.
UAUUUGUUUGCUAAAGGCUUUAUUUUACUGUUAUAUCGAUUGAUCUCUCUCUCUCUCUCUCUGUCUUUUGUGGUGGUAGAACCUUUAGGCAGCGUUUGAUUCACAAAACAGUAAGUACUCCUGUCUUUUGUGGUGGUAGAACCAUUAGAGAGUGUUUGAUUCACAAAACAGUAGAACCAUUAGAGAGCGUUUGAUUCACAAAACAGUAAGUACUAGAUAGAACAAGACAUAACUGUACUAGAGAGUGAUAGAGAGAUAAUACAGGGUGUGUUUGAUUCGCAAAACAUUAAGUGCUGGACAGAACAAUACAAGACAAGACAAGACGGAUAGUACAUGAUAAGAUAGAACUGUACUGGAGAGAGACAGAGAGAAAAUAUAUUUUUAUGUUGGAAAAUAAAAAGGGUAUUUUGAUAUAUUCGAUAGUCUGUACUCUAGACAAAAAGUUGUCUCAUCAUGGUUUAGUGAGGGACAAGAAUUUCGGUUUUUGUCCGAUCCCUAGCUUCCUGUUUUGUCUAGUCCCAUGACCAAUUUAUAAAUCAAAUAGGGUACAAAAAAUGUUGUCCAGUACAGUCCUCUGUUUUUUAGCAAAACAAACGCAUCCUUAGCUUUGUUCUGAUGUCACUUUGGUUUAUGCCCUGGUUCUGGCAGAUUUUGGUUUUGUUUUGUUAAGCAUACAUGUUGCACAUAAAGUUUGUCCAAUUUUCCAUUGAAUUUUUUAGCAUUUUUGUUAAAGAUGAGUUUGAAUAGAACAACCAUCAGUUAUAUGAUUUCAAAGAAGGCUGUUAUUGGUUUGUAACAGGAUUAUUUCUAUUUUUCUCAUAUAAAUAGGAACAUCAGAAGAGCAUUAUCUAUUACCUUACCUAACCAUUCAUUUCUUACUUUAACUGUUUUCAGGUCAAGAUUGCAAUCAGAAAAUAACUUGUCAGUCUCUGAGGAGGUACAUCUUUAAAUGCACUGUAAAGCCUUUUUUUUUUUUACUCAGCCCUUCUGUAGUUUCAUGUUAUCUGACAUACCUGCCUAAUGUAUACUCCCUUUUAUCUAAAGGCCUUCUAUUAUGUGUGUUUGAGUUUUCCCAUUGAGACGAGGAUUUUCUGCAAGGUCAAUAGUUUUUUCGCUUGUGAAUUGAGUUAUUAUCUCAGACAAUUUACUUUUGUAGGUUGAAAAUAGUUUUGGGGACUCGAAGAAAUCUGAGCUACCUGGAUAUGCUGUAAGUUUCAUUUUCCACACUGCUAUAAUUCAUUUUCUAAUCAUUCUUUAGCGAAAUUCUUCUUCAAUGAAGUUUAGAAUGCCAGUUAAUUGAAAUUAUUAUAUGGAAUUUUAUCUUAUUACCUGGCCUAUUUCUUCAUUAUUAUAGGUCUUAAAUACAUCUAAAGGGUCUAUAAUAGUAGAACUGUACAAGGAAAGUGCUCCUGAAGCUGUUGACGAAUUUAUUGACUUAUGGUGAGUACUUGGUUUUCCAACAAAGUUUUUAAUACGGAAGCUGCUUAAUGGUUUGGGUUUGGUUAGACAUGAUGUUGGAGUAGAAGAAAUUGUCAACUUAAGAUAUUGUUGUUCUGUGAUAGACAAUAGGUAGAAAUUCAAUAUUUGCCAGGUGUUUAGAAUACCCAAGUAAUAUUUACAGCACUUUUCUUCCUUUUUCUAUAAUCUUAGCUGAAAUAUAUUUUGGUCAUUGCAAUUUGAAAUUGAAAGUCCUCUCCAAAUUCCAUAACAACAUUUCACAUCAUAUCUUGUGUCUUUGUUAGGCUGGUGUAUGUUGUGCUAUUUUUCAACAUUAUUUUCUCUGUAAAUAAAAUGUCGAUCAAUGAAAGUAUUAUCAGAUAUAUGUAGAGCUUGGUCCAAGUAUUAGCUCGACGCUUUAGUUUCUCUGGAAUAGUGCAUGUUUAACUGGACAUAAUAUAGGUUACUCCACACAAACACUAGCAGAUUAUUAUAUCUUCAACGAAACAUGUCAAGUCUUUGAAAAUUGCUGCAAUAACUAGCAGAAAAACAGCAAUUUUCCUUUGUCAUAUAAGGUGUCGAAUUCAGUUAGAGUAUUAGGAUUAUAAGUGUGGACUUGUACCGUUGUAUUACAUCUAUACUUGAUUGAGAUUAUUAGUAUAUGUAAGAAUACUAGGCCAAUCUUAUAUAUAGCACAAAUUCACAACAUCACAAUCAUUCAAAAUCCUCUUUGUGAAAUCAGAAAUGUGUUCUCUCUUUUCUCUCUAUCAAAUUUGCUAAAAUUUCAACAACAUGAACUGUGUAACAUUUUUUACACAACUUGUUAAAAAGAUAUCACAAAUUUGUACUUUUUUAUAUGGAGGUUACUUUGGUUUACUGCACUUACAGCUUGAGCCAGUAGAAUUGCUAUGUGAGUGUGAACAUUGAGUUGAGUGCUACAACUUUUAGAGUUGCUAUGCUUCUCAGUAUAAUAAUAGUGUUAUAGCAUCCUGAAAUAAACACACCCUCUGGUGGCCGCAAGCGCGGCUUUUUGUGGGUCCAACAACUGCAUGAUACGAAUAACAACUUCUGCAUUUGAUAAUACAGCUUUUUGGGUGGUCUGAUGUUUCUGUCACGUUUUUUGGCAUCAAUUUAUUUAGCAUUCUGUUCAUUAUAAACGGGUUGGCACAUGAAAUUUGUUUAAUAUGAUGCUUUCAACCUAAGACCUAUGAUUUGUUUGCAGUCAAAAAGGGCACUUCAAAGGGAUGCUUUUUCAGCGCGUGAUUAAGCAUUAUGUGAUUCAGGCAGGGGAUGGUCAAGGAACAGGAGCAGCUGAUUGGAACUUAAGAGGAAAGCAACCUGCAAGGUUUUCUUAUUCUUUUGGUUUUUGCAGUUUAUAUAUACAGAUACAGUCAAUCCUGGUGCUGAUCCACCAGUGAGUUGUAUAAUUUUCUAAUAUAAGAUAUCAUGAUGAUUCGCCAGUAUGAAACAUGAAGCAUUCAUGCUUGGAACAUCCAAGGGAAAACACACCAACAAAGGAUUUGAUCUUUUCAUCACAACUGCACCGAUUCCAGAUCUAAAUGAGAAGCUUAUCGUGUUUGGGCAAGUCGUCAAGGGAGAGGAUGUUGUUCAGGUGAUUAACUUAGCUUUAUUAUCAUUGUCAUGUCUGCAAUUGUCUGGAAAUUUGUUUUCCCUUUCCUUUUAUCCUUUCUGUUUUAGUCAUGAAGGUUUUUUCCAUAUCUUUUCUUGUGUUGGCUGUUUAUGAUUGCCAUUUUUCCAUUUAUUUUCAAUCACUAUCAAGGUUAAAUAUGUUGUGCAACACCAAUAUUUGUUGAUUUAUCACUUUAUAUGUAAUUAUGGUUGAUUUUGAAAUUUUUAGUAAUGAAUACAAUAAUGGUUCUAGUAGGUAGAUACCAACACCAUACUAAUUUUGACAUCUGUAUAAAUGGAGUUACUAUUCUGUGAUUGGAUGACGUAUUCGGGAAAAAAAAAUGCACCAAACUGUUUGAAUGUCAGUUAUAAUACUUAUGUGUCUGAGAAAUAAUGGUUUUUAAUAAUAUUACAAAAUGUGUCAAAUCAGUAGAUUUCAAAAUUAAGGUUGAUAUUGAAUAUUACAUAACCCUGCUCCAGGAAAUCGAAGAAGUGGAUACAGAUGAACAUUACACUCCUAAAAUAACUAUUGGGAUACUUGAUGUGACUCUCAAACAAAAGGUCUGAAGGUUCUGUGCUAGAUCAAGAGCACAAUGAGCGCUCACAGUUUGCUUAUAACCUGUUUCGGUGCUCCGGCCAAAUCUUUUGUACAGGGAUGAUGAACCAUGAGAAGUUCACCUGGGGUGCAUCUAUCAAGCUUUUGAGCCUUGAUGUUGUUUUUACUUUUUUAGUUAUGAACAGUGAUGCAGGAAAUAUACAAUCUCCUAUUCUUGCCUCUUUCUGUUACUUUAUAAUUUUUUUUACUUUCUAUUUCAUUUGAUUUUUGAGAAGGAGAGGGGCGGGAUUUGUGUAUGCUUGUAAGAUUGGUUAUAUCACAUUUUAUUUUUUAUUUUGGCAUUACUCUCAUAUGUAGCUUCAAUCAGUUCACAAGAUCAUUUCACUUUGAAGUUCAUUUUUCUGUUGUACUUUAACUGAUGACCAAUUUAGCAGUGAGCCAAAAUGCCAAGUUUUGUAAUAUUCUCUAAUGAUGCUCCAGUUACACUUCCAUUUGGUUAAAUUAGCUUGUAGUUCGGUUCUGACUAGUAUUUUAUUUCUGUUAUAAAUUUGGAGCAUUUAUCAGGUUAUAUUUUUAAGGGACAUUAUGAGUAGCUUAUAUUGAAUUGAUACAUAUGAUAUACAUUUCAAUAAGUAUUUAGAGGAACAUAUAAAAAAACUAAUGACAUAAGUAUGUGUGCAAUGAGCAGAAUAUACUCAAAAUUUCAGACAAAUUUACCACUCCAACAACUUUUCUUUUCUUAGUACGCAUGAUUUUUGUUACAUGAUCUUAUUAAAAAGGAAGGAGGGAGGGCACGCAUAUAGGGGUGGCAUGGUUCAGUUUGUGAUGAAAACUAAACCGAACUGAGCUGUUUAUUAAAUUUAAAAUAACUGAACUAAACUAUUUGCAACCGAAUUGAGCAAAUUUAAUUUAACAAAUUAACAUACUAACACAUGUCAUUAACAAAAAAGAAUUUGAUAGAUAUUACUCCCUCCAUCUAUAAUCUUUGAUAAUUUAAGGUUUGAUCACACAUUUUAAAAACAAUCAUAAAACUGGAUAGAUUUAAACUCUUUUAUCCUUAAUUCACUACGUAAAAAUAAUUGUAUUUAAUGCAUGCUUUUGGUCUUGUAAGGGUAUAAAAAGAAAAAUACUAUUAAUUGCAUAUUAGUUUUUUUUAAGAAACAUUUUGAGAUAAAACUAAAAAGCAGAGAGGACUAAGAGCAUGAAUAUACGCAGUUUUUUGGAUUACAUUUUGAUGAUAUUGAACUUUGGUGAUAUUGAUGGCUUUGUCUCUAUCUCUUCUCUUAUCAAUCUUCUAAUCUCUCAUACAAAUACACUAAUGUUACCUUAUAUCACAAAAACUCAAAGUCAUCCGAGUAUUUUCCUAGUUAUCUACCGUUCCGUUCGUACACCAAAAACAAGGCACCAUGUCGGGCUUCAUUUAUAAUUAUGCUUUGAAGCCAGUUCCUUUUUUCCCCUUCGUUCCUCUGCAUGGCCACGCUUCUUUCAUGCUUUGUUGCAUUAAAAAAUAAAUGAAAACAUAUUUACAUAGCCAACCAAAUACUCUUUUGAUAUAUUAUGGGAUUUUGUGGGACACAUUUUAGUGUUUUUGAUAAGUUGUAUGAACGAAUAUUUAGAAAAUGUAUGUAGUGAAGUUGUUUAAAUAAUUGAAAGCUGUGAAAAAAUAUAAAAAAUUAUGUGGAGUCCAUUUAACUUAUUAAGAUGGGUGUUAUGGAUGUGAAUGCUCUAAAGAUCAAAUACAGAAACUCUAACAAAAACAAGGAUUAGGAAUGAAAAUGUCAUUUCUCUCGAUAAUAUAAAUUAUUUUGUGGAGUGUAUUGCAAAACUGAUCAUUUGAGGUAAGAGUUAAAAAAGUUGGACAUCCCAAAUUCAAGCUCGAAAAAAAUUAUUAAUAUAACAACUAAUUACUAACUUUUAAAAAAAAAAAUCAAUUGUUGUCACUCUAUACGCAAGUAUUAUGUUAAUGAAUUAAUAGAGUGCAUCGAUCUCUCAAAGGUACUAAUUUGCUAGUACUAUGUUGAUUAAUUAAUUUACUAGUAAUUAGUUCAUAUAGUUGUGUAUUCACUAAUCAAGAUAACAUGACCACCGAUAUCAAUCACUUGUAUCUUUUCAUUGCAAUUCUAUGCAUUUGCUUCUAUUUUUACUUGACGAGAAGCAAAUACCUCCUUUAUAUUAUUGUUAUGCCAAAGGGCCAUGUCCAAAUGACGAGCAAGUUGUAGUGUUACUUGCAUAAAUUUGAGGUAUCUUAAGGGUGGCAAGUGUAUUAUACUAUUAGUCUAUGUUGUUGCACCAGAUGUUAUACCUUUUCACUGUCAGUUUUUUUUAGGGAACCUUCUAAAAAUCUUGGUACAAAAGUUUAUUUACGCAGUAUUUAUGACUACUAGAUAAAAUAAAUACAUUGAUUUCCUUUUCUUUUUAGGGAACAUUGAUUUCCAUUUUAAAAAACAUUGUAUUUAUCGAUGAAUUUCUCUAUACGAUGGCCUAAAUUUUAUAGGUAAAUUAUUCUCUAAUAAACUGACAUUAAAGUGAGAUCAACAUGUAAUAUGAUAUGUCCAAUUAACACGUCAUGUCAAAAUCUCUAACAAUAAAAGUUAACACAGGAAUAAUUGUGAACAUUACUAAAAAUUGAUCAAGAAGAAAUGAGCAAUUUUUAAAAAUUAGGGACUAUUUUGAUCGAUGUCAGAAUUUUCGAAGACCAAUAUGUCUAAACAAUUAAAUUACUAGCGAUGACAUGGUAACUUGUGAGAAAAGAAAAGUUAUUGGUGUAACAGUCCAAUGACAUGAUUGUUAACUAAGGUCGUGCCAAUAUAUAUAUUUUUUGGAGCCAAAAUAUAUAUUUUUUGGAUGGACCAAAAAAAUAAACAUAUAUAUAUAUACUCAAAAUUUAUUUUUUAAUAAGCAUUAAGCACAAAGUUGACCAUAAAAAUAUUAAUUGGUAUAUCUUGAAAAUUCAAAAUAAAUAUUUACACACUUUGAUUGACUUGAAAAUGUGAUAAUAAAAGAGAAAUGAUAUUUGUACAACCAUUUUGUGACAACUUUGGUACAACUUUCUCUCUCAUACUCACAUGAUGGUCUUAUCCUCUCUCUUCCUUUUUCUCUCUCCAUUGUUUUUGGCCGAUAAGAAGAAAGAAAAACAAGGUUGUCAUGAAAUGGAUGUACAAAUAUCAUUGCUAUAAUAAAAUGUAUCGAGAUGGAGAAGAGGGUGAGUCGCAAAGUCAUGUUAUUUAAAAGUCAACAAUAUUUUAAUAAUUUUUUCUAUAAAAAAAGUUGAACUUUUUUGUGGGGUGGGCCAUGGCACACCUAGGCCCCAAUGGCCCUCCGCCUUUGUAUAUAAUUAUAGUGUAUUUCAAAAGGUCGAACAACUAAAUAAGUAGAACUAUAGUAGUAGAUUUGGGAUUGUUGAAUUGGGACCGUAGAGUGUGCUCAUCUUAAGGUCUUGAGUUUGAUUUUCCACGAUGCCAAAUUUUGGUGGGAUGAUUUGGCUUUUUAAGAAGAAAAAAAACUAGUAAACAUAAGGGCAUGAUUCAAUUUCUACUUGAAAAAGGCAUAAAAUGACCUUUAGUAAAAAAAAAACAUUUUAAGUUUGUGAGAAGAUCAUUACCAAACAAUUCUAUUACUUAGAUCAUUCAAACUUAUUCUAAGUUUAAAUAUGCUCCAUUUAGACAAUACUUCAUUUAGUACUUUUUAGUAUAAACUAGCGAUUUGGUGGUACCAAAGUCGGUUUUUAACAUCAUUAAUUUAGGUCAAACGUUAAUCGUCUCCAAAACCACUCUAGUUUUUUUCUAAUCUUUUCAUUAAGUUACUUCUAGACAUAUUUGUAUUUUAAUUAUCACAUAAGAGAAGUAUUUAAAUUUUGACGUGGAAGAGUGAGUUUUUGAUUUUCACAUAAAAAAUAACUUUGUUAAUUCAAAAUACAAAAAUGUUUUUUAAUUAUUCAAUCACUAACACUAUAGAACCAUGGGAUAAAGAAUAAAACAAUUCUGAUGCUUGAAAACUCCUCUCACUAUUGUUAUAGUGCAUACAUUUUUCUUGCAACACGCUCAGCAUAAAAGCUUAUCAACUUGAACUUUCUAGAUGCAAACGUACUUUGUAGAACACUACAUGCAUAACUUAUAAUAGUGUUAGUGAUUCAUAAUUUUCUCUUGAAAAGCAAAUAGAAUUCGAAACACUACGUACACAUGCACACACACAUACAAUGCAUAACUUACAAUAAGAGAAUAAAUAACCCUAUCGAGAAGAAAAAGCAAACUAAAUAACCGCAAGAUUAGAAUUUUUUGUUAAGAAUACAGAAUUAAGUAUUAAAACUUCUUGUAAUGAAACUUGUGCAGUAAUUUUUUAAGGUUGACUUCUAUUGGCAGUUCAAAAAUAAGUUUGACUUUCUAGCAUUGUACAAACAAAGCAUACAUGCAAAUCUUCUUCUCCCGAAAACAUCAACAUCAUGAGUGUUAUAAUACAUAUAGAGCAGCCAUUUGGAAUUUAAUUUCUCUCUUAAUAAAAGUAGCCAACAUUUAUUUAAUUUAUUUGAUAUAUAUAUUUUAUAAGCUACCUCCACAAGCACCCAAUUCCUAGUGGAAUUGGACUUGAAAAAAAAAAGUACAAAGAAUCUCACAUCAAAGUAGAAAACACAUCACAAUUUAAAAUAUCAAAUUAUCAAAAGUUCUAUAUCAAUGUAAGAUAACUCUUCCACAAAGAGAAAUAGAGUCAACAUGCUUUUAUUAUAUGUUCCUUUCAAAAAAAAAAAAAAAAGCUUUUAUUAUAUGUUGUGAUUAUAUAAUAUAAUGUAGACAAGCAACCCCCACUAGACCACAAAUUAUUUUAGUAAUUUAACAAUUCUUUUUGGUUUGGAUUUUUCAAUCCCCAAAAAGUCUUAUAAUUUUUUAUAAUUACACAAAAGGUUGGCGUGCAAUAACCACAUCUGAACUUGUCCACAUCCAAGUGUGUUUUUAGUUGAAAAGUAGAAGACUCGUGUUUUCUACUCACAGGUGUAAAGAAGGUAUUGUAAUUGAAAUUUAAUUUCUUAAAAGCAAGAUUAAAAAGCAUGUCAAUGUAGGACAAGAAUGUCACCAUUAUUCUGUUUAUUGGACACCCUUAUCUAAUUUAAUUUGGUUUUAGCCACUAAUAUCAAAGAAUUUUGUCUAUAUUCACCUAAUUUGUUCUUUAUAUGGGAAGGUCGUUGUUUAUGAAAUCUUCCCUAAAUAAUCUAUGUGUCUAAUAAUUUGAAUACUUGUCUUGAAAUUAUUGGAUGAUAGUGAGAAAUAUACCCCCGAUGUUCAUGGAAUCAUAAACCCAUGGACGAAGGCAUGCAUUACGAAAAAUUGAGCACCUACAUCAAAGAGAAUCAAAGUUUAGGUUUAUGUAUGCUCUAUCAUGGUGUAUUCGUGCACCAUGACAUUCCAUGAGAUGCACCAUGACUUAACUAUUAUAUUGCAGAGAGGUAUCAAUAAUGAUCUUUGAAGUAGAGUGGCCUUGCUGCCACGAUCCACUGAGAUUCAACCCUUGUCGUUUUGAUUCGUCCCUAAAAAAAAAUGAUAUUUGAAUUUGGUCUCAAACUAAUGCAGAAGAUUUACAAUUGUUGAAGAUCAUCAAAGUCAUGAUCUGUAUAUUUAUUGAGCAACUUUUUGAACUUUCCCUAAUCUUCACAUAAAAGUCUUACAAUAAAAAUAAUAAUAAUGAAACCACUCACAAAUUCUUUGAUAACUUAGUUUAGUGAGCAAAUUAGAGAUGAAUUUCAUAUUUUUGCUCCCUAAAUUUCUGUUAUUAGUAUAAUUUUGGCAAGUAUUCUAAUUGGAAAGAUGCUCCAAGGGAUCCUUUCAUCUGAAAAAAAUAAAGAGAACCUAAAUGAUUUCUCUAUAUAGCGUAGCAUGUAAUUUCAAAUCUUGGAUAAAAAUAUCAUAUUUUGCAAUUCAAUGGCCCCGUUUGCCACAAAAUAACGGAUGACAUAUAAGAUUGUUGAUAGGUGAUAGAGAAUAAGAUAGUUUUGGUGGUGUCUGGAGCUCGAACUCUGACCUUGCAUAUAUUAUGCAUUGUCCUUGCAAACUAAGUUAAGUUUACGGGGACAAAUAAUAAAGUAGUUGAUUGAACAUAUAGUGUUCAGUGAAAUUAAUGUUUGAACUAAUUUAUAAAUAUGAAAUAAGUUAAAAAAAUGCAUGUUAAAUCAAUAUUUAAUUUUUUCUCUCUCAAUAAGAUAAGAAUGGUAAAAUAAAGAGAGAGAAAAAGAUAAGAUAUAACCAACUUGAAUCAACUUAUAAAAAAAAGCACUCCAUAUACUAGUAAAAUAAGUUGUAAGCUCGUGAGAAAACAAUUGUUAUCAAACAUUUUUUGUGUGGUCAUAUGAGCUUAUAAAGAGCUAGCUUAUUGUGCGUUGUGACAAAUGUAAGGUGAGAUAGAAGUUCCACAUCAGAUGAAAAAGUGAUCUUGCCUCAUUAAAACGAUGGUUGAGAUCAUUUGACCUUUAGAAACUCAACAAUGUGAUCUUGCCACAUUAAAGUGCACACAAACAUGAGUUGGUCAAAGGGAGGGCGCACCCAUGCGUGUGUUCAGUGCAUGUUGGUGUGUGUGUCAAGCGUAUGUUGACACAUGUAAAACGUUUAUGUGGCGAUGAUGUGUACUGAAACAAAAAAUUCCUAAUAUCAAUUAACUUAAGGCCAAACUUGGUUCGACUGGACAACGACGUCACACUUUUGGUGGUCAGCUUCAGUGCGUCAUCACCCGUUUACAAAAUUGCUUACCUCCAAUCGCACAGUAGAGCCCGAUCUCCACUAUAUAAACAUGUUGUGUGUAAACUCUCCAAUAUAAAACUUUAAGGAAUUUUUCAAUUCACACACAAUCAGAUCUAGUAUUCCAACAAAUUUCAGUCACAUACAUUGCACAUGGAAAUUGGUAAUCCGUUCGUUUCUUCCAUGCAAUUCGUAGCUUUCUUCCCUUUGGCACAAGCAAAUUAAUCUUCUUAAGUUACACGUUUUCUUUCUAAAGGAAAGUUACAUUUAAAAGAUCAUAUUGCUAAACAAAUCAAUAAUCUCUCUAUCAUGGUUAAUUAAUUAUCAAUAGUUUCCUAAUUGAACAGUACAAACAAAAAGGACAUAAAUGUUAAAGAAAAGCCACCCAACUUUUCAAUUUAGUGUAUAUGGUCUCCUAUCCAACCUUUAUAUUUUUGCUACUAUUAAAUUAUUAUCUAUUUUGUUAUCAUGGGAUACUUUCGACAUUAAUUAAUUAAUUUUGUUGUAAAGUGAAAUGGACUAUGUGGCUCAGGAACAUCUGUUUGUAGUGGCGUGGAGAUCCUAAAGUUAGCUUUUCUGGUCGAUCGAUAGAGCCAAUGAUCUCUGAGUCACAUAUAAGAUGAAACUAUUUUAGUUUAGUUUAAUUUUUAAAGGAGAAUAUAAAUAUAUAACCUAGUGAUUCAACCACGGUUCCCUUAUUUCUUCACGUACUUGCAUUUGCAUACAUGGAUGUGGGGUGGUAGGUUAGCAAAAAUAAAACUCCUACAUGUAUAUUAUUAUGUUUUACAUAUGCAUUGUUUAAAUUAUGUGUAUCACUCUUGCCAACCAAAAAAAUAAAUUGUGUAGCACAGGCAUACACUUUUUACCUAUAUAGCUUUAUGAUCAAUAUAAUUAUGUGCUGAUGGUGUAUCUAGCAAACUAUUCUAUAUAUUUUGAGGUCAAUGAGGACCACUUAAGUUUUAAAAUAAAUAUAAGGUCUUUAAGAUAAUUUUCUAAAAUCCAAAUAAUUUGAUCCAUUAAAAUAUUUUAAGAAAUCCAAAUAACCAGAAAGGUUAAAAAAAUAAAUAACCAGAAAGGUGCAUAAUUAUAUGUAUUUUACAAACAUAAUCUGAAUAAAUACAUGUAUACAUAAAAAUGAAAUUUAGUAAUAUUUAUACAUGGAGGUUGAGUAGCUCAACUUACUACUAGAAAAACACGAAUUAGAGUCGGAAUUUAGGGAGGAAAAAAAUUUGUAACUAAUUGUGACGGUUUUAAAGACGGAUAUUCAUAUACACCACAAAAAUUGAGAGGACAAACAUUAGUGACAUAAUGGAUUAAUUAUCCGUCACAAAAAUUCCGUCACUAAAUCCCUCAAAAAAUUGAUUAGUUAAAUGUUUGUUAUGGAAAUGAUCCUUCUCAAAUGUUUCCCUCACUAAAACCAUCACUAAUGUCAACUGCAUAGUUAAAGAACAAUUGAAGGCUUACAAGGAGUUGAUCGUGCAUCGCAAUAAGAUUAACGUUUGUUUAGGGAGCAAAUGACUAAAUUUAUGAAAAUGUUUUCUCAAGGUCAUCUAAUUUAUGAAAAUAUUUUGAUUUUGGUUUUUCAAGAACAAUGUGCUACUUCUAAUACCAUUAAAUUUUUUGAAAAGUGUUUGUUAAGAAACUUAUUUUGAGAGUUUCCUUAUGACUUUUAUGUAUUUUAAGAGUGUUGAACAAUGGUUGUAAAUUUAUUGAAAGUAUCCUUGACGUUUAUGUUUUAUGGUGAUGAAUGCAUGUGAUGCUCAUGAAGACAAUUUAUAAAGUGUUUUUUUAUUGUGUAUUUAUAAUUUCCAACAAGUUUCAUAUGGUUUAAUAUAGUAAAUGCAUUUGCAAUAAUAAUAUAAUUAAUGAAAGCUGGCAAGAAAUUAAACAUUAGAUGAGGAAUGCAAAUUUUUGUUUGAAUUUUCUCACUAAUUAGUGACGAAAAUAAAUUGUCAUAAAAUCAUAAGUGUAGUCUGUGAGGGAAUUCAGUUUCGUCACAAUUAGGGACAUAAUAUACCCUCACAAUCUGUGAGGGAAUACCAAUCAGUCAUUAAUUAGUGAUAAAUAUUGGUGAAAAGGAUGGAAUGGUCCCUCACAAUUAGCGACGGAUUUUAUCCAUAUCCAUUAGCGACGGAAACCAAAAUCCCUCACCAAUAUUUAGCAAGGUCAAAAUUCGGAACGGAUUACCGGUCGUCACAAAAUUCGUUUGUGAGAAUUAUAGUAGUUUAUUGACGGAUUUCUACCCUCUCUAAAAUUGAUUUUUCUAGUAGUGUGACAAAGAGAAAAAGAAAAAAAAAAUUGAUAUAACGACCAAUAGUUUUUAAUAUUACAGAAAUGAUAACUAAACACAUAAAUUUAGCCACAAAUACGACACCAGGGGUAAAAUCGUAAUUUCCAUUAAAAAACAUGUGCAUAAUUGGUUUUCCAACAGAAACUGAGGGGUAUUUUCGUGAAUUUUCAUUCAAUUUCUUUCUCUCUCUAAACUUUCUCGUUGUCUUCUCCGAUCCACCUUAUGUUCUCACCACCACUGCAUUUUCUCCAAUCCACCCACUGUUCCACCACCAUACCCUCUUCUUGUUUUAUAGAUCAGGUCCCAAGGAAAGAAAUUUGCAUAGGAGAGAGAUCUGUAAAAGAGAGAGAUGUAGAGAAGAGUGAGAACAGGAGAGAGAUGGCAGAGGACGACUGCCGAUCGUUGUGGGUUUGCGGAGAAGAGAGAAAUUGAGAUUUGAUUUGCAAAUGAGUAUGGGUGGUCGUCGACGGAGUUGAAGAGAUGGAUGGAGUCGACGACGGUGGCUGGUGGCCGGAAGGGGUGUGUUCGAGAGUUGCAGAGACGGCACAAGAGAUGAUGACUUGCAAAGAUGGUGUUGGGAUGGUAGUUCGCAGAUGAAAAGAAGACGGUCUGAGUUGCAGGGAAAAGAUUAAAAUAAAAUAGAAAGCAUAAAUGAAUAAGGAUGUCGUACGGUGUCGUAUUCUUGUCCAAAAACUUGUGUCCAGUUAUCAUUCCUGUUAAUAUUAAGUGAGACUUAAUUUUUUUUUUUUAAUAUAUGAAGUCUAUUUUAUCUGCAUAUGAUGCCUUUAUUAGAAGAUGUGUUAGGGGUCUGCUACAAUAACUUAACUAAGAAGAUGAUGAAGAAGAAUGCACAUAUAACUUUCAAAGCAUGUGUGAGACACACUAACCUUUAGGUUCGGCUCGUUCCCACCAAUUAUGUCAACAAAAUGCAAAAUGGUAUAACGGUGAAUCCCCUUCAGGAUACUUUAAAAUCUUUGACAUGACUUGCACAUUCAUACUAAGCGUAUCGAACAAUGUUAAUUUACAAAACAAAGUUUUGUCGAUUUCUCUCGUGCACUAGAGAAAAGAAAGAAUGAUAUAGUAUUAUUUUAGGCAGUAUUUUGACUCACAAGAAUGUGACAUUCUAUUCUAUUUUUUUGAAUGAUUUUCCUACUCCAAAGUAUAUCUAUUUAUAGAGAAACUUAUGUUUUUUUUUUUUUUUGUGAAGAGAUACAACUCUUCAACAGAGAUUUUGCAAUGACAAGAUGCAGUGAUUAUAUUGGUCAAAUAGUCAAGCAAUACAUCUUUUCACUUAAAUGUCUCUAUUCAAUCAUUGCAACUUUUCAAAUUUAUAUUUUGGAAAUUCCUUUCACAACCUUUUUAUUUGUAAAAUCUAAAGAAAAAUACUUUUUGUUGGUGUGUCUAAAACGAUAGUUGCUUAUAAAGGACUCUUAUUAUGUUUAAUUCUCGUUUUUCAUCUUCGUAAUAUAUUAAAUAAAUCAACGUAGAAUUAAACAUAAUAAAAGUAUUUUAUACUUAUAAACAUAUUUUUUUGAAGGAACUUUUUCAAAAUUUGUGUUGGAUCACAAUCUCACAAAACCGGUUCCACUUAUGUCUUAUCCCUUUCAAUGCCAGACUUUUACUGACUUAUUAUUCAUACAUAAUAUCAAAAUUAAGAGGUUUAUUUUUUUAUAUAAGAAAAUAAUGGUUCACACACACUUUUUUAUAUGUUGAAUAAAUUAUUUCUAAAAAAAUAUAUUAAAUUAAUUAACAUGGAUAUAUAACCAUUGUUUAGUUAGGUCAAAUGUUUAUUUGUUAGAAUCACUAAUGCAUUCAACGAUGUUUGUUCAAUUGGUAAAAGUUGACUCAUAUUUUAUGUUCUAUAUACGUGAGUUCAAUUUUCGCAUUUGUAUAUAUUUUGAUCUAGUUCCCCUCUUUUUGUAUAUAUUUUUCUCAUUUUUUAAUAAAAUUUUAGAGUUUGGCGGUAUAUGAUGGAGGUUUCUCGGGAUACCAACCUAGUUGGUUUGUCGAUGUUUCCUUUUGAUAUAUGUCCUCUCUUCUUAUCUAGUAUAAAUAAAAAAAAAUCUCUCGUAUUUGUGGUUAUAACCUUGUUAGCUGAUAAAAAAUUUAAGAAAAUGUAUCCACUCUCAACAUUUCAUAAGAAAAUGUAUCCACGCAGCCAUGCGAGUGUGCUUUGCGAUCUUAUCUGUUCCUGUAAUUGUGACAUGGUGUUGUAAUUGAACAGUGUGAGAUUAAUUUUUCUCUUCAACCAUGUAACAUCUACGCACAGCUAAAUUCUUGCGGUAGAUAAAGGACCAUAAUAAACAAAUAAAUUCCAUACAACAAAUAUUUUAGUGCACAUAUAAUUUUCAACACUAGAGACCGGUGAGUAGGUAUAAAUAUUCAAAAUAUAAUUAAAAAUAUAAUUAUAUAUGUAUUUGUAAAACCUCUCAACAAAGUUUUUCCAGGUAAUUACAUAGCAGAUACAUCAUACAUGUGCUCCGUUCCAAAGUUUUUCCAGGUUGUUAUAUGGAAUGCGAAGUUCAACAAGAUUCCAUGGAGAAAAAUUUGAUGGUAGAGAAUUUAAUGGAUACGCAUUCCAUUCAAAGCUUCUCAAAUUGUUAGGCAAAAAAUCAAGACCCCCACAAAGAUGCACAUAAUUAAUUCCCUUAACAUCUUGAUUGUGGCCUUCGAAAACAGGUAAUCUUCGGUUUGACAUAUUUGUAAAUGCUUUAGAGCUCAAAUUUAUGCAGGUAAAUUUGAGCCAUUUCUAUGCAUAUGCUUUCAAGUGCACUACUCCCCUAAUAAAUGAAAAUUAGAAUCAAUGUUAAUACUUUGUGGUAAGUUGCAGUUAAAAACACACACAUACAUACAUGUUUUUUGGAAUGCAAAGCUAUAUAUCAUUCAUACAUUAUUGUUUGUCAACACAUCACAAAUUUCGCUAGCAUUCCACAAUCUACUGCGUUUUCCAGGGUUUUUGAUAGAUUCUUCCCGAACAAUUUGCCUAUCCAUUUCUUGUAUCAAGUCAUGUAUCUCUAUGUGACUGUUUAAAGUAAUAGUUACAAGAGCCUUGUCUAACAAGUUUCUUAUCCCAAUAUCUGCAAAGAAACCAUAGGCAUUUAAUAUUUUUGUUACACUGCUGCUGCUAGAAAUAUAUUUUUCUCUGUAUCAUCUAAUUCAUCAUAACUUAAUCUCAACACCUUUUGAAUUUCAGCAUUGGAAAUUUCCUUCAGUUUAUUUAGAGCACUAUCCCAUUCUUUUUUACUUUUUGUACGAAGAAAUGAACCCAGAACUUUCAAAGCCAAAUGGUUGCCUUUUGCAUAAGAAACUACAUUGUUUGAUAUUUCCUACAAACAUUUUUGUAAGAAAUAAAUUAAAGGGAUAAAAUUUCAGUCAUACAUGAGAGUUUCAGUCCAGGACCUCCAACUACUGAUUUCUUCACACACACGCGCGCGCACGUACAAGUUUUGAUAUAUGAAACAUUUUUUAUUUGCAUAUGAGGUUUUACUAGCAUUACUUUUGGAUCAACACACACACACACACAAGUUUGAUAUAUGAAACCUUUUUUAUUUGCAUAACUCUGAUUAUAGGAUACAUGUAUGGUAAUAAGAAGGCAAGUUGAAUGCGAGUUUUGCCGCUCUUUCCCAAACCCUCUUGUAAAAAUACCUACAUAUUAUCCCUAUUUAUGACAAUGAAUCUUGACUCAAUUUAUAAUGAGUUGACUCCUACCAAAUAAGGGUAUGAAUUCAAUUCUUGUUGCCAAUGUGAGGACAUCUUUAAAGGAGGAUAUGUAAAUUCCUAUGCUAGUGAUCUCUAAUCCUUGAUGUCUGCUCUAGCUCUAGUGAGCCUCCAAAAUCUAAUUCACAUAAACUUUUCUUUAUAAAUAAAAGAUUUUACUUUUUUUUUUUUUUUUUUUUUUUUUUUUUUUACUAUCUCAUCUUAAAUUUUGUUGUAGGCCUCAAAUAUAGAAGAUAAAAAGAGUUUGGUUUUGUUUAUGUAACAUGUUUGUCGAAAGUUAAAACUCACUAAGAAAUUACAUCCCUUCGACUAAGUUGGAAGAUAUCCCUUACCAUCUCAUCCAUAUAGAUGAACUAAAACUAAUUUAUAAGACUAAAUUAUCAUAUUAUAAAUUUGAAGGAUUAAAUUAUCCAACCCUUUUAAUUUUUCAAAGAUCGAAAUAUAUGCCAUUUGAGAGAGAUAAAUGUAAAUAUUUUUGUAAGUGUUCUUUGAAUUCUAAGGUCUUCGUUAUCUUGAACUUAGAUACCAUCUCUCCGGUCUAAAUUUUAAUUAAAAAAUAAUUAAAAUACAUAUUAGAUGAGAUGACACGGGUCUCUUAUAGUUUAACUAAAGUCAUGGUUUCAAAUCCAAUCUUGAACAUGCAGCAACAUUAACACACUUAAAGAGAGCUUGCCGCCCAUUUAAAUCCCACAAGACUCAAGUGAUUAGUCUCCACAAUUACGCACGAGAAGGAUACCUGAUUUGAAAAACAAAUAAUCAAUUGGGCCUAAUAGACAAUUCUCGCAUCUCAGCCUUAUUAUCUCUACAAACUUCAAUCCGAAAAAGAUACGACACACAAGAGUUGAAAAUCCAAACGACAGUGUUUGUUGAUUAAAAUGUCCUCAACCAAUAAUUAAAUUAUUGAUAUGCUUAGUUGUCAAUCCAAACAUGUCAUAUAUAGGAACGCAAAAACAAAACUCAUUUUUGGGCAGUUUGAGAUGGGAAGAUAUAUGAUAGAUGCUUAAUAUGGCUUGUUCUCGUGAGCUUAGUUCAGUUGGUAGAGACAACAUAUAAUAUAUGUAAGGUCCAGGUUCAAAUCCCGACCACCAUAAAAGAAUGCUUAAUAUAGGUUAUUAAUACUUGGCUUUUAUAUGUGUUUAUUCCCUGCAAAUAGGGGUCAUUUAAAAAUUGGUCCCUGUAUUCUUUAAUCCUGACAAUUUGUCCUGCCAAAAUUUAAUCAUUUAAUAUUUCGUCUCUCUCCCCACUUAAUCACUACCACGUCACUAAUUACAGGGAUAUUUUUGUAAUUUCAUGUUUGUAAUUUCAGCGACGUGGCAUUAAUUAACUGGGCUGAGGGACCAAUUUUGAAGUGAUUAAAUUUUGGUAGGGCAAAAUGCCAGGAUUAAGGAAUACAGAGACCAUUUUUUAAAUGACCUUUAUUUGCAGGGACUAAAGACACACAUAUGAAAGCCUUAAUACUUUUUGAAGCAAAAUUGAUUUGAAAAGGUUCGAAAGAGAAAAGAACACAACCAAGUUGUUUGGGCUCCACUGGCAAGGAGCUCCUUACAAUGAUGUACCCUGGAAAUACCGAGUUCGACUCCUAGGGGAACAAUGCUUGACUAGUACACAUGUCUCUAUAUACGAGCCGGAUUAGACGUUCAUAUUUAGUGGAUCGGAAACCGGUGCAAAGUACAUUCAAAGAUCUUUAGAUGUAGGUUCAUCAAAGUAUGACCUUCUAUAUCCUCGUUGAUAAUGCAAAUUUAAGAAAUUGGAUUUCAACUGAGUUGUGUGUAAAGUUUCCUAUGGCCUUAAUCUACGUGCAUCCACGGUAUCUCCUCCUCCUCCAGAAUCAAUUCCAAUGUCUUCCAUCUCAUCUUCCUCUCAUGACGAUCUUCACCUUAGAAAUGAAUAUUUUCAACUACUCCCUCUCUUUUUGAUAUGACAAAGGGGGGAAUGAAUUAAGGAGCUAAAUUUAGAAAUUUGAGAAGUAAUAUUUUGUGUACUCUAGAAAUGAAUAUUUAGAAAUGAAAUUUGAGAAGUAAUUUAGAAAUUAAUAUUUUCAACCACACGAUCUAAUGUUUGCUUAUUUCUCCUACUAGUAUUUUAAUUUCUAAAUUAGGAUUAAUUGCUUUUUAUUUUGUUUUAAACCAUUUGAAUAUUCAAGAAAAUCAUUUGUGAUGUAAUUUAUUUAGUAUGAAACUAUGAAUGAUAUAUUAUGGUUCAAGUAAAUCACAAGUUUAGUUACUCAAUUUGCAUUUUAAAACUUUAAUAUGAUAUUGAAUGCUAAAAUUUUAGGGAGAGCUCUUUGUUAAAAAUAUACAAAUAUUGUUACUGAUUUGCUUAAUGAGAAUCAUAAAUUAAAAUCUAAUUCAACAAGUUUGUCAUCAUAAAAAAUAAGAGUUGCUGAGGUAAAAUUCCAAUUUUAUAAUAAACAUUUGAAGAAUAUUUUUAAGACUGAUAUCUAACCUGUACUUUUGAGUGGUUUAAUUUAUAGACAGGUUCUGAUUAUGAUACAAGCAUCUCAUAUUCGCGACAUAAUUUAAUCCAUCUUUGUGACAUGAUGCAUCCCUCUAAAUUGCGAUAGAUUGAUAUUUUGUAACAAAAUCCAUCACUAAUUUGUGGUCAAAAUCAAUAAUUAUAUGUUAUGUUUUCGUUUGGUAUUAGUGAUGGAAGAAUUAAGAGUUUGUUUGAGUUCAAGUGGUUAAUGAGUUCCACAUAUGAUGAAUUGUUUAAGAGAAUCUGAAUUCGAUUUCUGAGUGAAAUAAUUCUAUUAUUAACCAAACUUUACUUAUCUUCUGAUCGAACUCCAAAUUAUCAAGACUAUUUCCAUUGAGAACUAGAGGGUUAACACAACCAAAAAAACUAAGAGUUGUCUAAUAUGAACCUCCUAAAAAAGGUUUAAAGUUGGACAUUUACUAUUUUUAGCAAAAGAUUGAAUUUUAUAAUAAUAAUAGUAAAAGGAAAAAAAUGUGUAAUGUUUUAUCAAAACUUACAAAAAUCGAAUUUUUCUAGAAGUCGAAAUUUUUUGGUGGAAUCUAGAGAUCAAUUUUAGAUUAUGUCCAUCUAAAGUCGAUCAUUUCCGUUUAGAGAUCGACUUUAGAUAGACAUGAAAAACUCAUAUAUGUGAGGAUACAAUUAUGUCGCAAUUGGCUAAAAUUUCUAGAUCUCCUAGCUAAAUAUUUAAUGUCCAACAUCCACGGUUUUGUUUAUGUGGUUACAUUAAUUAGUUUGCGACGAAAUUGUGUUGCUUUAGCGACAAAUCACAUACCCUAUCUAAAUUUAGUUUUUUUUCUUCUUCUAAUGGAGUGGCCAAUAAUAAAUAGUUUCUUUUAAGGGAUAAUAAAUAGUUUCUUCAAAAAAAAAAUAGCCAAACACAAAAGCUAUCGGAAAAAAGCCCAAGGACCCAAAAAGAUCCCCGGUCACACACAAAACCAACAAAAAAUGAAGCCCAUCCCAACACGCCAACAUGAGAAAUAAAGACAAAAAACACCCACAUGACAGAAGAACCUCGAAAUCCUGGAACCACCCAAACCCUCAAAGACAUAUAAGAUCCAUAUGUGUCAAACAACAUUGAACCCUAAAGGUGUCAACGUACAAAGAAUUGGUUGUCUCCCACUCGUAAGGGGAGCCGCGCGAUGCCUAGAGAAUUUACCAAAGAAUCACUCCCAAGAAUGAAAAAUAAUCCAAUCAACAUGUUGCUGCUCAGUCUCGAAGUUACUUCUUGAGAAAGGUCAUUACGAACUUUUCAAAUAUACCACACAUUCGCAUGCCCUAGCUCUCCUCCUAUAUACACCUAAAAGAGAACACACCAACUAAAUGUUAAGAACUCGGACACUGCAUAUCAAAUGCUCAUACACGACUACCAUAUUUGAUGUACUGAUUGUGUACUCUUUUUUUUUAUCCAAAAGUACUAAAAGUAAAUGAAGAAAGAAUAUGAGGAAGUAUACAUAGUACAUUUUUAUUUGUCUAAAAAGUAGUGAAAAUUUAACAUGGUUGGUUAUUAUAAAGUAAAACUAGCAGCCCUAAACACCGUAGUAGCAAACUUAAGCCAAACCCAUGCUGGCCCAUCAACUUAUAUAAUAAUUACCCACGAACGUUAGUGGAAAAACUCGGUUGCAUAUUUUAUUGUCUCCCCUAUAAUUGUUAUAACCUACAAAUACUUAUACGUCACUUAAAUUUGAGCAAUCUCAUCCAUAAAUUCCCACCCCACAAGGCCACAACAACGAUUAAAGAAACAAAUUAAGAGAGAUUAUACAUACAUAUACACUCCUACUUAGGUCCAUUCCACCAAUUAAAGGAAUCACAAACAAGAAGAGAAAAAUAAAAUAGCUAGAGAGAAAUACAUAAAGAUGAGUGAAGAAUGUGGUGGAAACACUAUUGCUACCUCUACUACUCCAUUAAACUGGUGGUAUCUUCAAGCAAAUUCUCUUUCUUCUAAUUGGAAUGAUGUUAAACAUGCAUGGAACAACCAAAUGAAUAAUCCAAAUUCUUCCUCUUCUUGUGAGGAUCAAGAUAUAUCAGUUUCUUCUACAUCUUUCACCAAUGCAUCAAACCAUUCAAGCCUCACUGUUGAAUCCUCUCGAAGAGUAUUCGUCGAGCCGCAUGCACCACCUUCCUCCAACGACUUCAUGGCCGAACAUGCUUCGGAUAACCAACUAUGGAGUCAUGUUUUAUCGUAAGUUUCGUAAAUUGUUAAUUAUUACAAUUGUGCUAUAUGUUAUAAUGAAAACUAGUCUCAAUAUCACGAAAUAAUGUGCGUUAGAAUUUCAGUACAAAGGAAAAAAAAUUCAUAUGCUAUUGACUGAAAACAUGGAUCUGUCCAAUGAUAUUAUUUUGUGACACUUCUUAAUGGAACCCCUUCAUGACAGUAAACAAUUUCCUAAUUAUUAAUAAAUAUCUGAUGUUUUUACUGCUAUAUAUUAUUGAAACUGGCAAAAAAUUUUAUUGCUAUAUAAGAGACAAAUCUUUUACAGUUUUAGGUUAGAAAUUUUGUGAAGUUUAAGGGUGUUUUAAGUUAGGUAUAUAGGGUUAAAGUAUACGAUGGUUUUUUUCAGUGUGAGUAAAUAAUAUUCUUCUAGGCCUUUGCUUUCCACUAUCUAUAACAUGCUAACAGCUGUUAUGUGCACUAUAAUCAGUGUUUUCACACUAUGCAACAAUGAUCUCUUGUUUAUCCAUCCACAUACCAAUAAAAACCCUCUUGGAUUCUGUAAGAUAUAUAAUUAAAAAGUAAAUUUAUUAUAUAUUUUAGUAUAUAUACAGCUAAUUAGCUUUUUGUUUUGAUAAGAAAUGUUUGUAUAUUUUAAUUACAACUAAUUUACUUUCUUAUGUAAAAUAAUUUAUAGAGGUGUUGAUUCAAAUGGAGAGUUACACAACAACCAAGAAAUUGGAGAGAAUUUCUUGGAUGGACUAUCAUCAAAAACCAUGACAAACACUAUGUUUGAUGAACCAGCUUGUGACUAUUUGAAGAAACUUGAUACAACAAGUUGGGAAUAUAAUACUAGUGGUUCAACUUCAUUCAAUACUAAUUUUGAGAAGCACUUAAAUGGGUACAGUGAAGCUCUUAUUGAGAAUAAUGAAAGGUUGACAAAAUUAUCCAAUCUUGUAAGCACUUGGUCUAUUGCCCCACCUGACCCUGAAGUUAGUAGCCACUUUGAUUCACAAACAAAUAACAAUUUGUCUACUAAUUUGAAUAAUUCUAAUUCGUCCAAUAUGGAUCAUAAUCACUACACACAUGAUUCUGACCCUAAUUGUCAUUUCAAACUACCUUUUGGUGAUUCCACAUCAUGUACUAUUAGAGAAGGAGUAGGUAAUAAAAUGUUCCCUAGUUGCCUUGAUAUUCAAGACAUGAAUAAGGUUAAGGAAGAAUAUCAUCAUCAUGCAAGUGAAGUGAUGCAAGGACAUGUAUUUAGAAAAUCACUUAAUCCAAAUGGAUAUCUUGAUGGAUUUAACUCAGUGGGAGAUCACAAUGGCAAAUUUUAUGAAGGGUUGCCAAAUAUUUCACCAUGCACCAAAAAUUUCUCAGAUGUUAUAUCCUUUAAUAGUAGGCUUGGAAGGCCAGUUGUUGGAAUCCAUCCACAAAGGCCUAAUAUGAGAUACUCAAACUUAUCUGAGUCAAAGAAACAAGGGCUUCAAACACCAUCACAUGUGAGUUUUUUCUUCUUCUUUUAUAGACAAAUUUUAUUUGUUAAUUUGUUUUGUUAGCAGCAUACAAAUUUCACUUAAAAUAGUGAUGAUCCAUCUUUAUAUCCUAUAUUUUUGAGAGAUCCAUAUUUUUCUAAAACGGUAAAAUUUAUUAAUAAUUAAGUUUCUGCACUAGACGAACAGAGACCUGUAAAAUAUAUAUGAGACAAAUCCGAAAAAAUAUAUGAAGUAGCGACAAAAAAUUUAAAAAGAAAUUUUUAUAAUGUAUUUGUCUCUAUAAAUUAGACAUGGAAAUUUAAUUAUUUUUGUUUCUAAUUUCUUGGUUGAUUUAACUUUUUUUAGUAUGGCAACUAAUUUCUAUUCAAAAUUUAGAGAAAAAGUCAUGCUAGCUCUGACAUUAUUUUGUCAAAUAAAAUGUGUAUGCAAUUAAUUUAUGCAGAUGAGAACCACUAAUGGAAGAGGAGAGGGAACAACACGUGAAGUAAAGAAGAAAAGAUCUGAAGAAUCAUCAGAAGCAAGUUUGAAAAAGCCUAAGCAAGAUACUUCAACAACAAAUUCAUCUUCAAAGGUACAUAAAUAUAUUUAUUAUAUAUUAUGUAAUAUACGUACCAACAUGAACUAAUUAUGAGUGUAAAAAAGUCAUAUAAAGUGGGGGAAACCUUUUUAUUUUGUGUAUUAAUGUAAAUUAAGAAACUUCUAUUGAUUGUUUAAAAGGUGCAAGCACCUAAAGUCAAGCUAGGAGACAAGAUCACAGCCCUUCAACAAAUUGUGUCUCCAUUUGGAAAGGUUACUACAGAAUGCACUAAUCCCCACACCCUCUUCCCUUUUUCAUUCCUAUCUUUUUUGUAUAAAUAAUUCACAGUGCUUUUACUUUUCUCACUACCUACUUCAUAAUAAUCAAUUUAUUUUAUUUUUCUUUGUUGAAUUUCAGACUGAUACAGCAUCUGUGCUGUUUGAAGCAAUAGGGUACAUAAAGUAUCUUGAAGAACAAGUCCAGGUGUGUAUCAUUAUGGAAAAGUUCCCAUUCAUUAUGCAUUAUAUGUAACUAUAUAGUAUAUAAUAUACAUUAUUGUUGCUUUUCUCCUCCUUUUCAUUUUUAAUUAAUGCCAAGGAAACUUGACUUCUAGGAUUAUUAGUUCUUUAUCAAAAUGAAUAAACUAACAACAAUGCUGUGUUGAGCGAUUACACAUUUUCCAUGAAUAUCUCAUGAGCUUCAUCAACUAUAUAAUAUAAGGAGAUUUUAAAUAACACCUAACUAAAAUCUAAUUAUGAUUAGUAAAAAUAUGUGCCCCUGCCAGUAUGUUAAUCUUAGCUGCAACAAAUUACAAAAUUGUAUACUAUUAGUAGAUUAAAAACAAAACAAAAUGAAAAAUAAAAAUUUUAUAGGGACUAAACAUGUUUAACCAUGUACCAAAAAAAAAACAUAUUUAACCAUAUAUACUUUAAGUGAUUAAAGAUGCAGGUUUUUUUUAUCAUAACCCUUCCAUUCCUAGAAAAUGGCCUAUAUAAUACAUGUUCCGGCCGGAAAGUAAGUAAAGUCUGACAAAUAAUCAUUUUAAGUCAUAAUUUGAAACCAAGUUUCUUCUAAACUAUUGGUAUUAAAGGUGCAGCUUCAAACACAAACAGUUCAACUAUAAGUAAUAUAAUCAUCUUUUUCUUCAUUAUAUACAAUUAACAGUUUAAUUUAUCUUUAAUUAAUUCUUUUUACGUUCAUAAUUAUUAUGCAGUUACUGAGCAACCCUUACUUGAAGGCAAAUUCACACAAGGUAAUUAAGAAAUUAAUCUAUAUAUAGAUAUCUCUAUUAAGUACUUUUCAAAAUUAAAUUAUUCUCUCAAAAUUUCACUCUUAAUUAGAGAUGAUUAACAUAAUAAUUAAUCCAGGAUCCAAGGGGAAGCUACUUCGAUAGAAAAGAUAAGGAGGAUGCAAAGCUAGACCUUCGAAGUAAAGGUCUUUGUUUAGUUCCUACUUCAUGUACCCCUAUAGUUUAUAGAGAGAACAAUGGGCCAGAUUACUGGACACCAGCGUAUAGAGGAUGUAUGUAUAGGUGAUUAAUAACACAUGCAUAUGACUUAUGCCAAAAAUAGUAUGUGGUUGUAUGUACUAUAAUCUUGGAAAUUAUAAGAUCUCGUCAAUAAAUCAUAUAUUAUCCUGAAUGUAACUAUUUAUUUAUUGUCUUGAUGUAAUGCCUGGUUACACGAGUAUACACAUUUUAGUUGACCUUCAAACAAGGGCUAGUACUUAGCAUUAUUGAUUUUUCUUUUUUUAAAGUUCUCUUACUAGAAAGAAUGUGUUUUUCAUACUAAAAAAUUACUUGAGUAAAAAAAACGAUAUUAAUAAAAAGACUCUUAAAGUAAAAAUGUUUCUCUCAGUGAUAUAGACAAAAGAUGCACAUUUUACCAAUUUAGCUCUCCAAUUACAAACAAAUUAUUAACAGUCACAAUUGUUGGAUGAUGUAAAAAUUUGACAUUAACUAAUGUUUUUUUUACGGAUUAAUAAUUUUUUUCUACGAAUAUAUAUUCAAUUUUCAUUUUCUAUAGUUUUAUUCAAAUUGCUAACGAAGGAAAUGAAACACUCAUGUAAUGUAUAUGUGUGAUAGGGAGAAGGUGAUAAGCAAACUAGCUAGGAUGAAUGUAUUUUCAAAAUCAAUGAAAAUAAUGUUUAGGCACUUUCAAAGUUUAUCAAAAAGUUUUAUAUGUUUUAAAAAAAAUGUAAAAGAAGAUUGUGAUGAAAAUAUUCUUUUAUGUUCAUUUGUUGAAGUGAAAAUAAAAAAAAAUAAAAUAAUAUUUAUUAGGUAUAAUUCAGAGUAUAAUUAAUCUCACAUUGAGUCUCUCAUUAGUUGGUUAGUCAAAAGAAUAUGAAAUUCAUUUUAUUUUCUAAUCGAAAAUUAAUUAUAGCGAAGCAAUUAGAUAAUUCACACCUAUAAUACAAUCUUUAAUUUUCUAAUAGGUGUAAAUUCUCUUAUAGGUGUGAAUUAUAGCAAUUAGGUAAUUUUCUAAUACAUACCUAUAAAAUUAUCUAAUCUAAUUGUUAUAAGAAACUUCUAAGGUACACUCAGAAAGUGAGGUGUACCGGUACUCAUGCUUCAUAAUUUUAUAAAUUAACGAUCAUUUUUUAUGAAAUAAAUAGUUAUUUGUUAAUAUUAAUAUUUUAUAGAACAUCAUUUCAUAAGAAAAAACAUCAUUUCAUUGUUUAUAAGAAUUAUAAUAAUUUUUUUUACAUAUUAUCAUAAAAAAUAAUCAAUGUUCUCAAUUAUGAGUGAAAAAAAUUCAAAAAAAAUUAAUUUUAUUUCGUUGACACUUUUGAUAAAUAAGAUUUAAUUAUUAUAAUUAUAGAUGAUAAAAAAUAAUAUUUUUCUUUAAAAAAACAACUCAUUUAACUAUUAAUUUAAAAAAUGAGUAUACCAAUACACUCAAAUAUAUUGGAUGUACCAUAAAAUUUGCAUUGUUAUAAUUAUCUUAUACCGAAGUAAUUAGAUAAUUCACAGGUGUGAAUUUUUUGAUGAUUGUAUUAUAAGUGUGAAUUAUCCAAUUGCUUCGCUAUAAUUAAUCUCCACCUAAAAUUUCACUAAUCAACUUUAGUUGAGUCUCUCUUCUCAAUUACUACCUUCGUCCUAAUUAUAAGACUCUUUUGAAAAAAUAAUGGGAAUUAAGAUAGUGGAUAUUUGUAUUAAAUAUGUUUGUAAUUACUAUUGUUUUUACAAUUUUAUCCUUUAAGAAAUAGGGUUGGCUUAUGUUUUCAACAUUUUAUUUAUUGCUGAUUGAAGAAAAAGAUGUAUAAUAAAUAGGGGCAUGUAUGUAAAGAAAUAAUUAAUGUAGUUGGAAAUAGAAAAGGGGUCUUAUAAAAAGGGACAAAAUUUUUUUCUCAAAAGGGUCUUAUAAUUAGGGACGGAGGUAGUAUGUUUUUUUUUCUUCAUCCAAAAAAACCCUUUUUAAAGUGAAAUAUCAUAGAGUUAUUUAUUUUUUCGCAAAGGACUCACCAAAUAAUGUAUACAUCACCUCAAACCCUAGUCGUCACCCUUUUCUUCUUCUUUUCAGAGGGGUGAUUUAGGGUUAUUUUUGACACAAAAUCACCCCUCCGAAUUGUUUUUUCUUCUAUCAUAAUUAAAUAACUGAUUUCACAUAUUUUCAGUUUUCUUUCGUUUGAUUUGUGAUUACGUCGUCUCUGAACGACUCUGUUUGUUUUGAUUUCCCGUCUUUAUCCGGUGUGUUUUUGAUUUCCCAUCUUAGUGCGGUGUUUAUUUGAUUCAGGUUGAAAGAUUAGCUUUAAGCAAGUGCAGAUCCGAUCAAUGACAAUGACUUUGGCGUCGUCAACGUUGCAGAUUCGGAGACAUGAGUAUUCCGGAGACAUGAAUAUAGUCAUAUUAAUUAUAUUUGUAGGCAUAGGUACUUUGCCGUUUUAUGCUAUUAACAUGGAUGCUGUGAGUUUGUUCACAGAUUCAUCCUUUUUAUUUUUAGCAAAUUUGAAUUUGUAUUGUAUCGAUGUACUCUAUCAAUUUGAAAGAAUGCAUAUUGUUUAUUUUUGUCAAAAAAAUAAUAAUAAUGUAUACAUCACCUUAUACCGUAAGAAGCAUAAAAGACACUCAUUAACAAAAUAUUUGAAUAAGAAAGCAUAGCCUGAACUAUAUAAGCUUUGGAAAGUUAAUGAAAACAAAAUAUAGUUCUCCAAAUCUAAAAACCAAGCUGAUUAAAAUUGUUGAAAUUGAACAUUUGAGUUGACUCUAGUGUUUGUCACGAUCAAUUUGCAAGAGAAGGACCAAAUUUGACAUGUAAAUCAAAAUAUUUGAUAAAAGAAUUAGUGUGCAUGUUCAUCACCUGAUGUACAGAGAAAAAUACUAAAUAAAUUAUAUAUUCAUGGAUGGUCAACUGAGAGUUAGCUAAGUGUGCAUCACAUUAAAAACUUUUGUAAUAUAUUGUAACUUUUUAGGUUAUUGUCACUAAUUCUCAGUACUUUAGAAUAUGUGAAAUUGUAGAUAGAUUCUUCAUAUAUAUAGAAUCUUCAUACAUAAAAGGUUCACACUCCAUUUUAUACUCCUUAAAUAUGGUAUCGUUUUUAAUUUUUUUUGUAUAAUCAGUAGAAUCAUAUUAUUAAUUGACUGUAGAAAAACAAAACCAUAUAUGGUGGAACAGCAUGGAUGGUUUUGAACAUGUCCACUCACUAACAUUGAACGAUUUAGGAUGAUUUAAACAAGUAAAAGAUGGGAUUGAUUCUAGAAGUAGAGAGAAUGACGUAUUGUUAAGUGCCAAUGAGAAAUUGGUCAAAGGGGAGAUGAGCAAAAAAGCCAAUUGCAAGGUUGGUGGUGCACUCAAACAUAGAUCAGUCAUGCUUCUUAUAAUGACAACCAAGACAAACACACCACCCUCACAAAUCCUCACAAUUUUUUUGGAACAAAAGUAGUUUUUUUUUUUCAUAAUCCAAAUAUAUGGAAUUGAUAUAAUGAUAUAAUUCAUUUCAGUAAUUUUGAAAUUGAUAGUAAUUUCAAAUUUUUAGAAACAUCACUCCCUUCUUUUUCUCUUCUCCUCUUUUCAUCUUCUUCGUUCGUCGAUAAGGAGUGGUUUAGAAUUAAUUUUUUUUGGCAUAAAUCACUCAUCUAAUUAAUUUUUCUAUCUUUUUAUAUAAGUGAUUUUUCGUAUAUUUUUUUUUUUUGUGAUUUUGUCAAUUUAGUACGGCCUAUUAUUUUGUUUGCCAUCUUUGCUGCUAUGUUAGUUUGUUUUUUCGUUUUGUUCUGGUGUUUAUUCUAUUUAAUUGAUAUAUUAGAUUUGAUCUGAAAGCAUUGAUAUCUCAAACACUUUAAUUUUAUUGCAUUGAUAGGCUUUAUCAUAUUUGUAUUUAUAUUUUUCUCAUUUUCCUUAUGUUCUGAGAUAGAAUAUCAAUCAUGGCAAUUUGAAUUUUGAAAUGAUAGGAAUUGAUAUUCACUUUGGCAAUUUUGAAAACUACGGAAUUGAAUUUUGAAAUAAUUUAGAUCUAAAAGAGUUGAUAUUUUUUAACCUUUUUUUUUUUUUUUGUUUUUUUACCUAAAAAAAUAUUUUUUUUCUACAUCUUGUUCGUAUAAGGAUAUUAAUUUAUUUUAUAGACUAAUAAAAAGAUUAACAUCCUUCUUCUUCUUCAGCCUACAAACUAGUUCAUCACCACCACCGACAACCUCCAUAACACUGUUAAACGUUUAAAUCCAACAUCAACAAUAGCAAACAACACCAAGAACCAUUUCCUUCCAAUAAACAAACACAAACUAAAAAUUCUUAUUCAUCGUCAACUCAAACUCAUACCACAAUCUCCGUCAUCAUCAUCGCAAUACCAGAAAACAUUUUCCCUUCAAACUAACAAACCCAAACGAAGAAACUUGCAAACUCGCUUUUGUUGCCUAUAAUUGGAUUUGCACCAUAAGAAUUUUGUUUGUGAAUUUAGAUGGUUUUAUGCUUUUAUGUGGUCGAACGUGGCAUUUGAAGCACUUUCCAUUAACAAUGUUGAUAAACUUUUUUGAACAAACAAUGUUGAUAAACUUAAAGUUGGAUGCAAUAAGCUAUUAAGGUUCAUAGUGCAAAUCGUUUUCUUUUGUUGCUAAGUUUUUUUUUGUUUUUAAAUCUUUCUUUUAUUGGAUUUGGUCCCUUGCCAAUUUCAUUUUUUUUGGUUUUCGUCCCUCUCACUUAUUGACUAAUCAACUCAUUUGCCACGUGUCAUUUGCUUGCCACAUCAUCCAUUGUCACGCCAUCAUCUGAUUGCUCUCAUACAUGUUUUUGUAACAAAUGAUGACAGCAUGAAUGAAAAUCAAAACGUUUGCAUCUUACAUAAUUUGUAUAAAAAAAUGUUUUGAGCCUGAAUUAGAAGAAGCCCGAUCUCUUUUUUUACCAUAUCAUUAAAAAUUUAUAAAGACAAUAUUUUAAACUUUUCUAAUUACCUUUUACGCCAUCAAUCACUUUUAUAUUACCAUUUUUGUAUGUGUAUAGAAUUUUUUUAUACAAUUUCGUCAAAUUUAAUGGAAAAUAUAACAUAUAGCACAACUCUUUUAACAAAGGUUAUAAGUUCAAUCCAGCUAUGAAAUGUAGCAAUGUUAAAUAUUUUGAAGAGAAGCAUUGCGAUUCAUUGCUUUUCAUCAUCUCCCAUUUUGAUGAAUGAAUUGGUAGCAAUUCUCUUUUUAAUUCGUUCAUUCAUGGGUGGAGCUGGGCUUUGUUUCUUCCAUGCCUCCUAAUUGGCCUUUUAUGUAACUUUGCUUUUCGGAAAUUGUUUUUCUCCAUUUUGUUUUUGCUUAUUUUAUUUAUAUGUCUACGUGAGGGACGUUAUACCCCCACACCUCUACACUUAUAUCUUACCCAACAAUUUUUAAAAAUUCCAAUUUUACCCCUUUUACUAUAUAAUCUUUUACACAUAAAUUUUUCACCCUCAUUUUCAACAUCUCUUAAUUAAGGAUGAGUUCACCGCCACAUGAUAUUUUUCUUGAUACUUAUUUCCUUUUUUGUUUUUCACUAUCAAACGUUUCCGAAAAUAUUUCGGAAUAUUCAUAUAUACGUUUACAAAAAUAAUAUGAGAACUAGUCUCUCUUCAAAUGAAUGAUGCAACACAACUUAUCUUUCUCCUUUGAUGGAAAAAAUUGUUCUAAUACCAAUUAUUGAAAGAAAAAAUCAAUAAAAAAUCUUUAAACAAGCGGCAACACAACCACAAAAUAUGUAAAAGAGACAAAAACAAAUCACAAGACUGUUUAUCGACACUUCACACCUUCAUUCAUAAUAUCUUAACAAAAUAUUUGUUACAAAAAUAUGCAUACUUUUACUAGGAAUUGCAAACCCUCUUAUACAAUUAUAAUUUUUGCAUAGAUAUAUGCAAACUAAUCUUUCUCAAUUACAAUUUUUGUAAGAAAAACUACAAACUCUUUUAUGACACACAACUACCCAACCUCUUUUUUUUUUUUUCAUUACUCGAUGUGCGAUGUGAAAGAAUAUCAAUUUUAGAGAACAAAUGACUAUAAUUUAUAGGUGGCCUUUAUGAUUUUUCGCACAAAUUUUCAUACUGUGAAAUGUGAAUAGAUGCAUGUGCAGAGAUGGAGUUCAUAAUUUAAAUCUUACGUUAAAAAUAAAACAAGUUUUUAAUGUUAUAGUUUAAAAAUAAAAAAUUGUUUCUUAUAUACAAUAUUUUUAUGAAUAUUUACAUAGUUUUUAAAAAAAAUUAAUAAUGAAUGGUAUAUUCGUGUCCUGUAUGACACAAUGAAACAUAUGCACAUGAAUAAAUUAUACAUUAAGCCUAAUCAUAUGAUCUGAAAAGAUUUUCUCUACAUCUCGUCGAGCUAGCAAGGUAGAUAGAUGUCAACUAAUAUAUAUACAUUAAUUUUUAAUUUGAAUUUUUUUUAACAGCGUUGGAUUGACUUAUAUGUGAUAUUUUAUUUCAUAUUAGGGUAGAGUCUGCUCAUUGGAAACUGAAGCAAAUGUUGGAAAACAGCAAAGAUGACUUGUGCAAAUGUUGGAAGGGUAUGCACAACAUGAAGUUGCAAUUAGGAAAAAUCAUAGCUUCAUUUCAAAAAAGUUUUUAUGAAGUUGAACACGCACACACAAGUCUAUUUUAUGAAAAAUUGCGUGGAUUUGUUUCUAGAGCUGCUUUAACAUGCAUUGUUGUUGAGUUUGAAAGAGUUAGAUAUAUGGAAAUCGACGAAUCGACAUGUGGUUGCAAACUCAGAACAACAUAUGGAUUGCCUUGUGCUUGUGAGUUAGGAAGAUAUAAAAUUAGUGGUAUACCUAUACCAUUAGAUUCAAUUCAUAUUCAAUGGAAGAAAUUAAGCAUGGAAAAGUCAACAAGAGGAAGACACGGAAACUGGAUAAAACGAUUGAAACUAAUAAAACCUUAUUAUAUGACUAAUAGAAUAAAAACACCCCCUUUGAAUUACAAAGUGUGGCUAGAAGGGAACAAAUACAUUAUACAGUAUAAGCAAAGAGUGUGUUAAUUACUUACAUGACCAUACCACAGGGAGCUUUUCUAUACUUGACAUUAAAUUUAAGACAGUACACGUUUACUUAAGCUUAAUUUUACUAUAUUUAGUUAGCAAAAACAGCUUUUCAACUACAGUAGUUGUUUGAAUCCUUUAAAAAAAUACAAGUAAUUGUUUUAACUUUUAAUCACACAAAUAAACUACUCCAAAAUCCAAAUACAUAAACAAGCUUGGCUAAUGUGCUCUUGAUCUUUACAGACAAAGCAACAAUCACCCUUUAAAGUCUAAACAAUCCCAUUACUUAGAGAUACACAUAAGAAAGCACAAAGAAGCCAAAUCCGAUAUAAAAAAUAAAUGUGAUACAUACACAAGUCACAUAUAAAUAAUACUUCAUCAUCAGGGAACAAUAUAUCAGUCUUUUCCAUGUACAACGAUUCAUUAAGCAAUUAAAAUAGCAAUUGCUAAUAAGAGGCGCGGACAUGACCUCAAAAUAACAGAAUUAUCACAACAGACAACAAGUAAGGAUGGAAUAACACAAUUAAGUAAGUAAUGGACAUAGUAUGAAUAACUAAAUGAAUUCUACGAAAACAAUGUAACUAUAUUUCAUUUCCAUUAAUUGCAUAUAUAGAGGUAACCUUGAUCAGUAGUAUAUCUAUGCCCAUUAAUUAGUAUAUCUAUAAAAAAAAAUAGUAGAUCAUGACAAAAGCUACUUCAGAGAGUUAAACAAAAAAUUAAAAAAGUAAUUUUUUUUUGCGCCUGAACUGGAAUUCUUGGCCAAACGAUUCCGGGAAUAAUUAACCGAAAUACUUUGAACGCGUUUUCCGGAAACUACCGGAACACUUCACACAUGGUUUCCGGAAAUCAACCGGAACACUUUGGUUAACACGAUUCCUCGGACGAUUCCAUGAAAGGACGACGGCAAUAUUUCCAGAAAACGGUUUCGUGGAAGGAUUUAUAACACUAACCCAGAAAAUUUUGAAAAACCUAACCGUGAACGAUUCGUGAAUGAUUCCAGAAAAUAAUUCAGAACAAACACAUGGAAUUAGUGGAUGAGACAGAACACAGAAUCAGAAUAAAUGAUGCUUACUUGUUUGUUGGAAGAAGAAUCAGAAGAGGGUUUUCCAGAAAAGGGGAUUGAACGUUGAAGGAGAAGGGUUUAGAGUGUGUGGGGGUGAAAAGUGAAGGGUAAUUUUGGUAGUUUGUGUUAAAUGUUGGGGUAUAGGUAUAAAUGUAGGGGUGUAGGGUAUAACGUCCCUACGUUAACUCAUGUUGAAAAAAUCGAACGUGAGUUAACUCACGUUGGGCAUAAUUAAGGGAAUGAGCAAUUUAUUGCUUUUUUCAAAUAAAAAGUUGCUUAAAAACACAUGAAAAUGACACAAACCGCUGUAGUUAUCUAAGCUUAGGGUUUUUGGUCAUUUUCAUGUGUUUUUAAGCAACUUCUUAUGUGAUUUUUUUUUUUUUUUUAAUGUUUGUAACAGCUAAGUUUAUCAACUAUUAGUCAGCUUAUAGUUUCUUAUAAUAAUAUGAGAUUUCUUUUUGGGCGAGCGUGUUUAGUUUUUUUUUAAUAAAAAUAGAUAAAUAAAAUAACUUUAAUCAUUUAAUAGUGUUUGUUUAGGUUUUUAUUUUAAAUAUUAUUGUUUUACUCUAAAAUGAAAAGCUAUUAGAAUUAACUAUCUUUAAAAAUUUUUUUUUUUUUUCAAAAAUAUAGAGGUAACACAUGAACAAGUUUUUCUAAAAAAAAAAACAAUUAUUUUUAUAGAAGUAAACAAACAGAAAUAAUUUCAGAUUUUUUAAAGAAACCUCUAAAAAGAUCUCUAGAUUUUUAUAAUACAAAAUCUUUUUUCUUUUUAAGUUGAAACAAAACACCCUUAAUCUCUUUUAUUUGAUUUACCCUAGUUACAUCGCAUAAACCUUGAAUUUCACCAUUUCUAGAAAGAAAAAAAAAGGGUUAAAUAUGUUUUUGGUCUCUAUAAAUAUACCAACUUUUCGUUUUAGUCCCUCUAAAAUUUUCCUUCAACUUUUAGUCCCUAAAAAAUUUUCAAUUACUACUUUUGGUCCCUAUUUUUAAUUUAAUUUUUGUAUUUUUUAAUAAAAUUGUACAGAAAUGUGUAAAAUAUUCUAAAAAAAAUAAAGAAAUUAGAAUUUUUUAACAAAACACAAAUUAAAUAUGAAUUUUUAACUGUAAAAAAUAUAAAAAUUCAUAUUAAAUUCAUGAUUUGUUAAAAAAUUCUAAAUUUUUUUUGAAGUGAUUCUUAUAAUAUUUUGAAUUUUUAUGGAAAAUUUUAUUAAAAAAUAUGAAUUCUAGAUAUGAGUUUACUUUAAAAAGAGACCAAAAGUGAAAAUUGAAAAUUUUAUAGGAACUAAAAGUUGAAGGAAAAUUUUAGAGGGACUAAAUGAAAAGUUGACAUAUUUAUAGGGACUAAAAAUAUAUUUAACCCAAAAAAAAAAUACCCUUAAUUUGUUUUCAAAUUUUAACGUGACCACUGCAGCAACUAUAGACAAGGGAAAAUAUGGCGAUACACGCAGACUCCAUCGGUAAGAAACCUAGGUGUUUCUAGAAAGUUUAGUGGAAUAAUGAUAGUCAUAGUUGAGUCUCAUUGUUUACAAAUGCCAUUUGUAAAUUUUAUUUUGAAGGUGAGAAAAACACAAGAAGGGGGUUGAAGUGUGUUAACUUUUUCUUUUCUUUCUCUAUCUGAAACAAGCAGGUCAGAAGCAGGUAGAAUUCUACUUCUGAAGAGAUGUUCAGAACUAAAUGCAGCGGAUACGAAUAGAGAGAAAGAGAGAAAAAAGACACAGACAAUUUAUACAGGUUCCUUCCACAAACUGGAAGUCAGUCAUGUCCCCCUUGCACUUCCAAGGGGAGUUCACUAUGUAAUAUCUGAUUACAAAUGCUCACUACUAAACUUAGUAUGAGACUUCAAAUUGCUCAAGCACAACUGCAAGAGACUUCCUAUGCUCCUGAACACAAUCAAGAGACUUCUAUUGCUCAAGCACAACUGCAAGAGACUUCUAAAUUCAAACAGAAUUACAAUGAAAAAUGUUUGAGGUUGAACACUUGAUAUACAAUCAAUGGUGUUCACAAUACAAAUCACAGACUCUAGAAUUCCUAAGAUAUAAGCUUUGUUAUGAAAUUCUAAGUGAACUUUGAAGUGAAGAGCAAUUUCAACAGAGUUUUAGCUUAACUGAUGCGUAGUAUUGUUCUUUAGUAACUCUGAGUCUUCACUCCUUUAUAUAGAGUUGUGAAAGAGACGUUGAAAUGUCUUCUUAUUCAAAAUAGAGUCGUUUGAAGCUCUUGAUCUAUCACCAAUGAUCUUUUGCCUGAUAUGGUUAUUGUCCUAUGAAGGAUCAAUUUCAAAUGUGUUCCCAAUGUGAAUAAACAUUGUUGCAGGCAGAGCUGUUAUCCUUGUCUUGUAGCAGAGACAAACUCAUAAUAGUGGAGGUAGUGGUUGUACACUUCGUACAAACGUACUAUGUCAACGCUCUUUGAAGAAAAAGCAUCCAAUGCAUUUCAAAAUAGUCGUGCCACAAUUUUCCAGUCUUCUGCAAUCUUUAGGCGAGUUAGAGUCCUUGAAACAGCUUUUGAAAAUUUAAGUUCAAUCUUCUGAUGAACUGCAGCUUCUGGUGAUACACAGCUUCUGAUGAACUUGCUUCUGAUGACGUCAUCACUUCAGAAGCACUUUGUCUUUAGGCGCACUUCAAACUUCAGGAGCAGUUUUCUUCAGACGCUCGAAGCUUCUCUUUUUGUUGAUAUACUUGCUCUUUAUUUGUUCUUUGAAGACCAAUUUAAUAUGACAAUUUUUUUUCUAUAGUCCUGUACACUUGAACAAAUAUUAGCGUAUCCAAUUGACAAUUUUUAAUACUUUAUUAUCAUCAAAACUCUCAAGGGUUAUUAUUGCUAAACAAAUUUUAUUCCAACACAUUUUACAUACAUAAUCAAUCAAACAAUAUGUUACUCGCAUUUCUUUUUACUUUAUAUUUAGUUAUGUUUUUAUUAGCUUAGUUCUCAAAAAUCACAACGGAAGAACGUAGUUUCUUUCUACUUUAUACUUACACUCUUUAAAGAAUGGAAGAACAUCGUUUCUUUCUUGGCAUAAUCGUUUGGAGGAAAAGAGAAUCAUUGUUGAGAUCUAUUAGCCAGUUCAUCAGCUAAUUUGGCAACAAUUUGUAAUAAUAAAAUUGUUGUAUUAAUAAAAACAAAGCAAGGUGAGGACUAAAAAUUACCAAAUAACUGUGUGAAUAUUGGUAAUAAGAUAGGAAAUAAGAGAAGGAGUGAUAAAGAAAGGGGUAAGGGCUACAAGGGUCAGUGGCCCCAAACCAUCAUCUACGAAGGACACAGUAGCCUGUGCAAUAGCAGCAUGUACAAUAGUGACAUAUUUUACCCUCCAAUUCAUCACUCUUUGCUAGCAAGAAAACUUUUAAAUUUUACCACACAUAAUUAAUUUUCCAAUACAAAUUAAAUGAAAGAAAACACACAUAGAAAGAGAUAUUGUUAUAUAUGCAUACGGGUGGACAAGCAUGCAUGUAAAGUAGCAAAAUAAAUUAUUUAAAUAUUCAUAUGACACAAAAUGAUUGAGGAAUAUAACAAGAGAGGGUAGCUAAAUUUUACACACAAGAAAACAAUAGCCAGAAGAUAAAUAGCUAGGUAUAUUGUUUUCUUCUCCUCGUCUCUUCAUUACUCUUGUCUCCUUAGAUCCUUUCCUCUUGCAACCUUUUUGCUCUCAAUCUGUGAGUUUUUUUUUCUACUUUUUCUUCUGACAUGAAAAAAACAACCACAAAAAAAUCAAAUAUAUAUAUAUUUCAGCUCUUUCUAGCUUCUUUAAAUUAUUUUGUUAUAUAGUUUCUUUAAUUUAACUGAUCUCUUUUUUGUUAUCCUUGUUCCAUGAGAGAAGGAAACAUGUUAAUGAAAUUUUUCUUUUAGAAGAAGAAUUAAACAUUUGAUUAUUAAGUUUUUGUUUAAAAAUUUCAGAUUGCAAAAUAUAUAAUUAUGGCGGCUGCUUCUUCAUCUACAUCAUUCUUUGGAAUCAGAGAAGAAAAUCAAAGUCAAAUAACACAUCAUCAUCCUCAUCCUCAAUCAACUACUACUUCUGCUACUUCCUCAGCUCCUUCAACCACAGUUCCUCAAAAGAAAAGAAGGAAUCAACCUGGAACACCAAGCAAGUAGCUUAAUUAUUUUUAUUUUCAUUAUUACUUAAAGCUUCAACAUGCACACACCCUUCUCGAAUUUUUUUUUUUUUUUUUUUUUGUAUUAUUUUCUCAAAAAACAAGCAUAAUGAAACCCUAAAUCAUGAACAUGAGUUAGGGCUCUGAAUUUCUUUUACAAAAAAGCUAUAUAAGAACUAUGUUUAGGGUGCAUGCAGUCUCCUCCAAUUUUAUUCUCAAAAGCAUAUGAGACUUCGGUUUUAAUUUUUGUAAUAAUUUUUCUAACUUCUACUGUUUUUUACUACUAUUACCAUGAGUUUGUGGCUUUUAAAUGGAAAAAAUAACAAUAAAACAUAGUUCUUCAUUUCAUGGUGCAUAUAUAUUCAAUUAUGAAUACUUCUUUUGAUGUUAAAAAAACUAGAAUUUUAUAAUAUUUUUCUUAUACAAAAAAAUAUAUAAUAUUUUGUUGUUUUGGCAUUUUUCAUGGUAAAAAGAUCCAGAUGCAGAAGUGAUAGCACUAUCUCCCAAGACUCUAAUGGCAACAAAUAGAUUUAUAUGUGAGGUUUGCAAUAAAGGGUUUCAAAGGGAGCAAAAUCUUCAACUUCAUAGAAGAGGACACAAUCUUCCUUGGAAGCUAAAGCAAAAGUCCAACAAAGAGCCAAGGAGAAAGGUUUAUUUGUGUCCUGAGCCCACAUGCGUCCAUCACGACCCUUCAAGAGCUUUAGGAGAUCUAACUGGAAUUAAAAAGCAUUUCUCUCGUAAGCACGGUGAGAAGAAGUGGAAAUGUGAAAAAUGCUCAAAGAAAUAUGCUGUUCAAUCUGACUGGAAAGCACAUUCUAAGACUUGUGGUACUAGAGAAUAUAGAUGUGAUUGUGGCACCCUCUUCUCUAGGUAACAAACAUCAUCUUUAUAUUUAUAUCUUCACAUCGAUGUUAGUCUAAUUAUAUUUCAUAAAUAUGAAUUCAUCACUCUAUAUACAUAAUAUAUGCUACACUUUUGCCAAAUGUUAGGGUUAUACUUAUAUGGUUUGGUAUUGAAUAUUAUUUUAUUUUAUAGAAGUUAGUGUUUGAUUAUUUUUUUACUACCAAUUUUAUUAUAAGAAUUCGAUUAUUUUAAUCAUGUUUUUUUUCAUCAUUCAAUUGCAAGGAAAAUGGUCAUAAGUCAUAACAAUCUGAAGUUUUGCAAGAAAGCAAGUAAAAUCCAACCAAACCGUAGAUCAAACUCAUAGACUCCUUAUAUAUCGUUCUCUUUCUUUCCUCUUCGUAUUGAGCUCUAAUUUAUCUAAAUUGAAGUACUCUUUAAACUUCUUUACUAAGGAACCUUUUACAUAUAAAAAGGUGUGUGUAUAUAUAUAAAUAUAAUAAGUUGAAUUUUUUUACAAUAAGUAAAAACACACAAAGGUUAAAUUUGAACAACAGUCUCUUUUAUGUUCUUAUCCCAAAAAAAAGUGAACAAGAGCUUUCACCCUUUCUCUGUUAGUUUGUGUUUGGGUGUUAGUGAAGGUGUAUAUUGUAUGGCGCAGGAGACUGCAUGCACGUGAGUACACUGUUCAAAUGUAGUACAAAAAUUGAAAUGUUUGAAGGAAAAAAAAUCAACUUUGGUUUUAGGGAACCGUGCCCAUAAUCUUUUAACGUUCACGUGUAGUGAAACAACAUAAUAACUUUGUUCUCAUAUGAAAUGGAUUGGAGGAGAUGCUGGGUUUUGUUCUCUUUCUUGUUAGCUAUUUCUAGUUUUCAAAAUUCAAAUACAUUUCCAUGUUCUUUUUAGCAAUGGGUCCAAGGUGACUAAUUUCCAUGUUACUAACAGAAAAUUCUCUUCAUUAAUUGGUCAUGUUUCUCAUAUAGAUUUGCUAGAAAUUAUGUGAUAUAACGAAUUAUCUUGGUAGAAUAUAGACAAGUAUUGAGGUUGCUUGCAUUUAUUAAGUAGGCCCCAUAUUGAAAUUUUUGAGUAUUGACUUUCAUCAUAGUUGCAAACAAUUCUCUCUUUUAUUGAUCAAAGAAAGACCUCAAAUUAGAAGUUUGAUUUAGAAAUUCUUGGUUUGUUUCAAAUUUUGGCAUAAUCCCAUGGGCCCUCUACUUCAAUUGUAGUUUUCUUAAUUUCAACAUACUAUACUAGUUUCAAUUAAUUCCAAUUAAAACAAUUAGGUUACUCAUAUUCAUUACACAAAUAUAUGGGAUUAUAAUAUGAACUUCCAAAGGCGAACAUAACUAUUUUUGGUAAAUUUUAAUACAAUAUUAGAUAUGUUCUCCUUUUUACUAUAUAUGGUAGGGGUCUACAUUAUACCCACCCAAAAAAAUUGACAAUGAUAUAUAUAUGUUGCUUAAUUCUUUGUAAUUAAUUUUGGUGCAGGCGUGACAGUUUCAUCACUCAUAGGGCAUUUUGUGAUGCACUAGCACAAGAGAGUGUAUUAAGACACCAUAACCCUUUUGGGAGUACUCAUCAAUUGUAUGCCACAAACCAUCACAUUAGUUUAGGCCAAAUAUCCCAUCAAUUGCAAAAUCAUCAGAACCAAAUUACAUCAUCCACUAGCAACAAUAACAACCUUUUGCGCCUUGGAUCAGCACCACCAAAAUUUGAACAAAACUUAAUCUCAUCACCACCUUUAAAUCACUCUUCAUCAUUUGGACACUCAAUCCCAUCUUCAUCACCAUUCUUCAAUAUGAGUGAUAUUUCAAAUCAAUCCUUUGAAGAACAACAAUCUCAACAAGGACAAUUCUUAAACAAACAACUACAUGGUCUAAUGCAUCUUCCUGAUCUUCAAGGCAAUACAAAUACAAACAAUUCAAAUUCUUCCAAUCUUUUCAACCUUAUGGUUCAUGAUCAAUUCAACAACAUGAGUAGUACCCAAGGAACAACACUUUACAUUAACAACAAUAGCUCUUUAAGUGAUCAUCAAGUUGGUUUUGUCAAUUCAAUGCAACAUGGUCAAAACAUGUCUAGUCCUCACAUGUCUGCCACUGCAUUGCUUCAAAAAGCUUCUCAGAUUGGUUCAACUAAUUCUACCAACAAUAACAAAGGUAGUAAUAAUGAUCAUAAAUCAGGUGAUAGGGACUUUGUUGUGUCUGAUCACAACAACAUCAAUGCCACUUUUGGAAAUAGAAGUUCAAGUAUUGAAAAUGAUCAUGACAACAACGAUCUUCAUGGAUUGAUAAACUCUAUUGCAAAUGGAAACACAUCAUCCAUAUUUGGCAAUGAAAGCAAUCUUAAUAUGAGAUUUGGUGGAUCUGAUAAGUUAACUUUAGAUUUUCUUGGUGUUGGAGGAAUGGUCAGAAAUAUGAGUGGUGGAUUUUCACAAAGUGAACAACAACGUGACAUGAUGAAUACUAGUAUGGUUUCUUUGAAUCAUGACCUAAAAUCAGCACAUUCAAGUCAACAUUUUGGAAGCUCAAAUAUCUUGCAAUGAAGAUUGGGGUGAGAAAUUUAUUAAUUUAAGGAAAUAUUGCUUGUUAGUUACAUGUGAAUUAUUCAUUAAUUAAGUAGUAAACUUUGUUUCAAACAUUUAUUUAUUUUAUUUUUGUUUUCCUCAAAAGAAGUGCAGUUCAUUGGUAAAAUGAGGUUCCAAUUCUAGAAAUUACUACAAAUUACAAUCCCUUAUUUUAUUUUAACACGUCCCUUUCCUUAUUCUUUGCUCUCUAUGAUGUGAUAGAGAGAUGUAAUAAAUUCACUUUUGAAUUUCAUGUGUGAGCGAACAUGAGAUAAUAAAGUUUAUAGAAAAAAAAAAUUGAUUCAUUAUAGAUUUUCCUCUAAGAAAAUUAUUUCUCAAUCACAGAGGGUAAAAUUCCAUGCUCGAACCAAGAAAAAAUAUUCAACCUAACAAUUUCAGCAUUGUUAGUUGUGCUAGGUUUUACGGACCAGGACAUCAUCGUUGUCUACCAAUUUUUUUUUACAGAUUUGAGGCGAUUUAAUUUGGUUGAUAAACACGAGUAAAUUACUCAAAUGCCCCUUGGCAGUUAACUGCCGAAAUUUUAAAAAAUCGGCUGCAGUUAACUGUCGAGAAAUUUCAAACCUGAAAUUAAAUAAGGAAAUACACCUAUGUUUUCCUUAAUUAAAUUUAAAUCUUUAAUCCUUUUAAGGAAUUAAACAUAAUUAUUUUUAUGAUUUCAUUCAUAUGAUUUUGUUGCUAUAAAUGAAGAAAUAUGAGAGAUGAAUAAUAUCUGUAAUCGGUAGUUAAUAGACCUAAAAUGAUGAUUCAAUAAAAAAAAUGCAACAACAAAAACGUUACAAAUGAUAGAAUAAUUAUAUUUGUAAUUAUUAGUAAUUAAUUUCAUUGAUGUUGUUAUUAUUCAUAAGUUUGACUAACCUAUUAUUACUUUAUACUAAUAUUUUAGAUAUUAUUACUUUAAUUAACAUGAAAAACGCAACAACAAAAAAUAAGGGGGAUUUAUUGGAUUAAGAUUCUAUGGGAUUUUAAAAGAUUUUUUAAUUAUGAAAAAGUCUUGUGGUAUUCAAUCAAAACUUUUUGCAGCCGGUUCUUUAAAAUUUCAACAGUUAACUGUCGAAGGAUAUUUGAGUAAAUUACUCGUAUUUCUCAGUCAAACCAAAAGUGUGAACAGCAAUACUCAAUUUCAAAAACAUGUAUAUGCCACGGUAAAUAAAGCCAGUUGUUGACUUGUUGAUAGUUGUGUUGUUAUUACUUGUGUACAAAUGCUUACCAAACGAGGGUGGGAUGUUGGCACUCUGUUAUGUUAAGAAUCUUCACGUUUUGGCUAUAUUCCAAUGGAAGCGACAGAGCCUCAUUUCCGUUCAAUUUCAUCUUUGUUUUUUUAUAUACGACGUACAAAUACUAACUAACUAAAGGUACAUUAACUUUAAAAUAAAGCAAGAAAUUUUGUAGUAUUGCUUACCUAAUAUAUAUAUACCUUACUUUUAAAAAUACAUAUUAAAAUAUAUGUAAUAAAAAAUUAUAUUAAAUGCUAUAUAAAUGUUAAAUGUUAGAGUCUCACAUUGAAUAUGAGAAUAGUAUAACAAUAUGUUUACAAGUUAUUUAUAAUAGGUUCUUAAUAAUAAUACUAAAUAAAUAUCAAAACUUAUUUAUAUAGAAGUUAUUUUAGUAUUAUUAAGAGCCUAUACUUUUUUUUUGAGCAAAAGAGCCUAUACUUAAUUGAUAAGAAAUUGUUACCAAUAUACCAACUCCAUUAAGUACCAUAAAUUUGAGAAAGAGACCUUGCAUAUUUUUCAGGUGAUUUUGUUGACAUCUUUUUCUCUUAACACUAGGAAGGACCCUUUAGUUUUUCAUUGUAAUAUAAAUAUUCUUGUACAAGUUGACUACCUUUGAAUUUGCAUGUCGUCGUUGAUGGCUAUAUAUAGGGUUAGAUCUAACGUCAUUGUUCAUUUGGUGGAAGAUUUUUAUGAGGAGUGUGUGGUACAUAACAUAUGCAACAUAAAUAACAUAUUAGCAGUAGUCUCUGCAAUGUUCGUUAUUGUAAUUACUGGUAAAAUAGCUGCGACACUUUUGUCGCAUGUAAAUUCCUUCUUCACAUGGAAAUCACCCGUCCGUGAGUGAGUGAAUGAAUGAGUGACUAUUAACCAACCAACCCAGUCAUUUCAUUUCGCCUUCACUCUCUACCCGUUACAGUUUUUCUAACUUUCUUUCUUUAGAUUGAGUAACUUCAAUAAUGCAAUGCAACUAAAGAUUAUUACUUACAACUUCUAUGCUCAAAUAAUUGUUGCAAUGCAAUUAAACACUCACUCAUGCGUGUCCCCGUGAGCCUAAUCCAGUUUGUAGAGACAUUGCAUUAUAUAUAUAGAGGUUGGGGUUCAAACUCAAACACUCUACUUAUUCACCUUAAAAAAAAUGAAUUUAAGUCAAUUGGCUACCUGACUAAAAAAAAACGCACUCAUAUGUUUUAUUUCAUAAGCUGGUUUUAGACCUUUUUAUCUGAAAAACUUAUCUCACAUUGUAGUUGAUAUGUAUGGUUAGACCUUUUGUGAGGUUUGUGUGUCCCCUAGUCUAUCACUCUCUCACAGUUAAACUACUUUGUUUUUGAGAGGUUUGUAUACCUUACUUAAAAACAACUAUCAUUCUCUCAUCAAUUUCAUCAUUAAGCUAUUAAAAUUAACUAAAAAGUACCUAAACUAUUCUCACAUAUAACUAUUAGCCCCUUGGUUGACAAAGUUAAUUUUUUUUAUGAUGGUUUAUGGACUAAAUUGAUAUAUUUUUUAUAGUUUAAAGAUCUUCUAGUUGAUUUUAAUAACUCGAAGGCUAUAUAUGUGAAAAAAUUGAUAGUUUAAGGAACAAGUUGAUUGUUUAUUCUUAAUUUGAUUGAAGUCUACUGGCACACAAAUUUACAAGGAUACGGUGGAUAUGGGGAAGUUAUACCUGAUAUCCCUACAUUUAAUCUUUUACCCCCUACAAAUUGUUGAAAAUGCCAAAUUUACCUUUUAUCAUUUCACUUCACCCUGCAUAAAAUUUUAGCCAACAAUACACUUCCGAGAUUUAAUACUCCAAUUUUCGGAAUAUUCAUAUCAAAUUUUUAUGGUAGAUUAAUUUGUAAACCGGAACAAUUGAGUAAAGAAUUAUUAUCAGAAUUCUUUCUUCUUUCAUCGAGGUUUGAGAGACAAUGAAAGAUGGAAAAUAGAAUACAACAACCUGUAUUAGUUAAUAUAAAAUUAAGUGCAAAGCAAAGAUCAUGAUACCAAACCUCAUCAAUUCUUCUUCCAAUUCAUUUUAUUUAGAUCUAAAAAAAUGAAAGGCCGUAUAUUUCUGGAGUAGAAUUUUAGAUGUAAGGUUGGGAAAUCAAAAAACCUGGCUAAAACUGCAGAAACCUGUUUUCUGAAUUCUUUCUAAAAAAACAGUGUAAAAAAAUGCUUGUCUCUUUAUCUGUAGAUCUAAAAAAAAAUCAUUUCUAAUUCAUCUUGUUUGGAAAUAUGAAUACGAAAAGUUGUAUAUUUUAAUUUUUUUUAUUUUUACAAAAUACCGUUGUUGGGAAUGUGAAUAAUCUAAGAUUAAAUGUAGGGGUGGUAAAAGAUUAAAUGUAGGGGUAUAUGGUAUAAUAUCCUGGAUAUGGUAGGCUUAUAUUACUUAGAACCCAAAUCAUGUUACUUAGGCCCGUCAUCAUGGACUUUUUUCAUGUGGUUUCCAUGCAGGCUAGUUGAAUAUUGCUCUUUAGGCAUCCAUGUUUUGCUCUCAGACAUUUUGAAAUUAUUAUUUUACCUCAAUGAAAAUUAAUUACCAUUUGUUGAUGAACGAUGGUUAGUUUUCAUUCUCUUAUGAACAGUAGUUAAUUGUCGUUCUAGGGCAUUUUAUGUGGUUCAGAUUGCGCAGACAGUUUUUGUGGUCCACGAUACAUAAAAACUUCUAUAAAUUGGUGUGUUUGGUUCAUUUGAAACCACACCACAAAAUCAUGAAUAUUUAUCUAGUAGAUCCGAACACCAAAUUAGCGCAGUUAACUACAACGGGGAAAACUCAAUAUGUUUAGGGUUCAGGUUAAUGCUAUAUCGGUUGACUUGAAGGAACAUAGUUGGACCAAAUUAACAGUCGACUCAACCACAAAGACACAAGAAAGGUGGAAAGUGUUGAGUAUCGUCAUCCAUUCGUUUGACUCAUAUGAAAGCGUCAAGUUCACCCAUAUGAAGUUCAAGAACAACGACAUCGUGAGAACCAUCAAGUUAGACGCUUCAUUGGUCAAAUAUUUUUUAGAUGUUCCGGAAAGUUUGAUUCAGAUUAGGACCUUCAAAGAAAACAGGACUUGCAUGGAUAGACCAAAAGAAAUAAGUAUGUCUUAUUCGUGAUUUUGUAUGUGUUUUAUUAUGUUGUUAAAUUAUGUUAGUGUAUUGUGUUUUAUUAUGUUUAAUGUAUGUUUUUGUUAACUUAUGUCAUUGAAAUUAUGUUAAUGUAUUGUAUUUUAUUAUGUUUAAUGUAUGUUCUUCUGAGCUUUCCUUUGUAACUAAUGAUUAACUACAGUUUCUUCUGAAAACAACAAUUAACUAUUGUUCCUAGAAUGGGAGUUAACUCUUGUUUAACAACGAAAAAUAAUUAAUUAUUAUUUCGGAUAAAAUAGUCAAUUUGAGACGUGUUAAAACAAAGUAUGAGUGUCUAACGAACAAUUUUCAAGAUAGUUUAGUCCUUUUUGGGUUCUACCUUUUUUUUUUAUGAGUAACUUCUACACCUAGUUUCCAUUCUUUUUUGUGUUAAUUGUCCGAUUUCUUAGCAUGUGCGUAACUCACGCAGCGUGACUUAAGUCACACAUGUGUAAAAACUAAGUCAUGUAUUUUUUACACUUGCGCUAAUUAACUAACGCAAGGGUAUUUUCGGCAACACUGCAGGGCGCGAGUGUUUUGUGUUGGGUGAAGAGCAGAAUUCUAAAGUCAUAUAUAUAUAUUAUGGUUUUAAAAGGGUAAUUGCUAAAUCAGAUUCAUAGGAAGCAACUAAGUUAAUAUUGAAAGGGCAUGGUAAAGGGCACCCUUGUUCUCAUAUCAUUUCUCAUAUUUCUAAUUUUCUUGUCUAAUUCAUGAGUUACAAGUUUCAACGUGUCUAACGUGAAGCCAACAAAGUCGUGAAUGCUUUUGCAAGGAAUAUCCAACUUCAAAGUAUUAGCGCAGCUUUAACUUGAUGAACAAACUUAGAGUUUUCUAGGGUUUUAAUUUGAUUUUGUUGAAAUAGAGAGAGAAUGAGAAGAAUGGGUGAAUGAGGAGACAAGAAGUAUUAAAGUUGUGAUUUCAUUUAUAUGUAAAAAUACACAUGAAAGUAGCUUAUAUACAUGGUUUUUUGCUAGGUUACUUGAAGUACAAGUCAUAUAACAAACCCUAAAUACCUUAAGCUAAAAUCUAGUAAAUUUGUAACAAACUAUUAACAAACUAAACUAACUAGAUUUCUAAUGUGAUUAACCAAACAAGCUUGAUUAGAUCACUAACAAACUUGAAUUAUCAACUAACACAAAGUUGCGAUAAUAUAAAAAUAAUAUCAGAACUAGUCUCUCUUCAAAUGAAUGAUGCAUCACAACUUAUCUUUCUCCUUUGAUGGAAAAAUUUGUUCUAAUACCAAUUAUUGAAGGAAAAAAAUCAAUAAAAAAUCUUUAAACAAGCGGGAACACAACCACAAAAUAAGUAAAAGAGAUAAAAACAAAUCACAAGCCUAUUUUUCGAUACUUCACAGUUCACACCUUCAUUCAUAAUAUCUUAACAAAAUAUUUGUUACAAAAAUAUGCAUAGUUUUACUAGGAAUUGCAAACCCUCUUGUACAAUUAUAAUUUUUGCACAGAAAUAUUGCAAACUAAUCUUUCUCAAUUACAAUUUUUGUAAGAAAAACUACAAACUCUUUCAUGACACACAACUACCCAACCUCUUUUUUUUUUUUUUUUUUUUUCAUUACUCGAUGUGCGAUGUGAAAGAAUAUCAAUUUUAGAGAACAAAUGGCUAUAAUUUAUAGGUGGCCUUUAUGAUUUUUGGCACAAAUUUUCAUACUGUGAAAUGUGAAUAGAUGCAUGUGCAGAGAUGGAGUUCAUAAUUUAAAUCUUACGUUAAAAAUAAAACAAGUUUUUAAUGUUAUAGUUUAAAAAUAAAAAAUUGUUUCUUAUAUACAAUAUUUUUAUGAAUAUUUACAUAGUUCUUAAAAAAAUUAAUAAUGAAUGGUAUAUUCGUGUCCUGUAUGACACAAUGAAACAUAUGCACAUGAUUAAAUUAUACAUUAAGCCUAAUCAUAUGAUCUGAAAAGAUUUUCUCUACAUUUCGUCGAGCUAGCAAGGUAGAUAGAUGUCAACUAAUAAGUUGAUGAAAUCGGCUAAAAAAGAUUCCCAGUUGAAGUUUAUUAUUUUUUUGGUGCAACCCAGUUGAAGAUUUUAUUAACUUUGAUGAUGGCUCUGAACUACCAAGUUUUCUAGAACUUGAACAAGUCCUUAAUUUUAGUUGAAUUGCAAUACUAUGUCUAUAUGUAUAGUAUACCGUUUCUGGUUUCAUAGUCUGUUAAUUUUAAGGAAUUUUUUCAAGUGGCUCAAAAAAAACAUAUACAGUACAUUCUUUAGUUUUAUUUACAUCGUUUUCAAUCUCUUUCGCUUUUUUAAAUAUUUACGCAGAAAACAUUUUUUUUUUUUUUUCAAUCAGAAAGAGGCAAAAUUAAGAUUUGCAUUGGUUUUAGUCAUCACCUACUACAUUAAAUUACUAUUUGUGGAAAAUAUUGUUUAUAGCGUGAAACUGUGCUCUGACUGGCUCACAUGCAAACGGACAGUGGCAAUAUUGUUUAAGGAAGUAUUAAUCUUUUUUUUUUUUUUUUUUUUGACAGAAACCAUAUAGUAUUAAUCUAUUAUUACUACUAUAUAUGCAUAAAAAAGGACCAAUUAACCGACAUGCUUUGAGUUAUUUUGUGUUUUUUUUUUUUAUUGUUUCUGAAAAAAUCAACCAACAUGCUUCUUUUUUUGCGCUAACUAAAACUAAUUUAUUUAUGCUACUAAUCAAUUUAUUAAGACUAAAACUUGAGUACAAGUUAGUCUUUUUUUUUGUAGUUGGUGACCUACAAGUGGUACUCUUGUACUCAUUAUACUCAAAGUCAAGGGUACAUGCGUAUGUGUUAUGCUGAAUUCGAAAAUUCAUAGUCAAGACCCAGCAAUAUCAAGAUAUAUACACACAUGUCCUAAAGUGCAUUCUGGAGAAUAAGAACUACAAGUCUAAAGUUUUUCUUUUUGUUAGUAAAGUUAUUUUAGUCCAAGUUUAGACUAUACAACGCUGACUAUGAAAUAUGAAAGGAAAAAAAAACCUUCAAUUUUUGUCAAAAAAAUAAAUUCCAUUGUCUCUAACUAAUUAUUGAAAUUUUAAACAUGUGUUUGGUCUAACGGUAUGGUAGAAAAAAUCACGGCAAAAAUUCACGGUAACUACAAAAUCUAAAAAUUUGUAAUUUCUUUGAAAUUUGAGUUUGUAACUUCGAACGUCAAAUAAUCGUUCAUUAAGUCUCUAAAGCUCACAUGAUCAGACCAGCUUUGAUUGCAAAAUAUGACCAACUAAUUACUAAUAAACAUUUAAUUUUGUUAGCAGAUCAAUUUAUCUGUUUAAUGUUAAAAUAAAUCUGAUCCAAUUCAAUACUUUUGGACAUAGAUUGAAAUGGUUUCCCCCCCCCCCCCCCCCCCUUUUUUUUUUUUUUUUUUGUAAACUAGGUAUCCUCCGCGCGCAACUGCGGAGACUAAUCCCUCGAGCAUUGUGAGACCCAAAUGGACGGCAGACUCUCCCUAAGAGUUUUAACGCUGCUGGAGGUAUUGUAAAUAAUAUUUUGUGUUAUAUUAUUUUUAAGAGUGUAUAUUUCUAUAUAAAAAGAGUGAGUUUUGCCUUCAACCUCGAGGUAAUCGGUUUGAGACCUAGGCACUGAGAACAUGAGUUUUUUCGAUUAGCUCUUUAAAAAAUUAUUUAUAGGAGGAAUAAUUGUUUUUAUGGAAUUUGUCGUGUAAUAAAAAUCUAAAUCGUCUAGUCUACAAUUUUGUAUAGUCUUCAAUUAUGUUGUGAAUUCGGGCUUUGAAACUUCACACCAAUCCAAACUAUGAUGUGUGGAGAAAGUAUCAAUGGCAACCAACAACCAAAUUAACCAUAAGCAAUAACAAUAAUAUAUACCAAGUCUAUAAACCAAGUGCAUAGCAAAAUCACAAUCCAACCAAAUAAUAAACAAGAUAAAAGAGUAAAGAAAAAUAGACAACAACACCAAGAGAUUGUUCACCCAGUUCGGUCCAACCAUGACCUACUCUGGAGGAGAGAUUGAUCUCUUCAAUCCACUAUCAAUGAGUUCUUACAAAGAGAUACAAAUGAGUUACAAGAAAUUAGCUUCAACAAGCUCACAAAAAACAACCCUAAUUUCUACCAAUUUUCCCAAUCUCACCAAUGAACAAGACACUCAUGAUUUUUACUCUCCCAAGGUGUUUACAAUUGUUUCACAACUCUAGAAUCUAACCCCCAAAAGAGAACCAACUCUUAGCCUUUGAUUUCACUUAGGAUCUUCUCUUUUGGUUUCACAAGACUCACCCAAGUUGCUCGCAAAUGACUCUCCACUCAUGUGUUUCCCAACCCCAUGAAUCUUCUCCAAAAGGCACCAACCCUUUUCACAAGAGCCCCCUCUUUUGGUUCUCCAAGAUUCACAUCUUGAAGCUUUGAACCUCACCCAAAGACCCUCAACCUUUAGUAUCUAAAACCCUAAAAGUUUCAUCCUUUGGUUGUUAUGGGAUUCACCAAGCUUACCCAACAAAUGGAUCAGGGAGUGUUUAAAACAUGUUUCAGAUCUGUCAAAAUCGUGUCACAUUUUGCCUUCAGAACCAAACAUGCAUUCGGCAUCAGAAAUCGUGACACGGUUGCCAAAUCGUGUCAUGAUUCUUCACUUUCAUAAAGACUUAAUUUUGAGUCAUAUAUAUACCAACAAAUUCAAAUUAUAUAAAUGGACGGUAUAUUCUUUAGUAAAAGUAUUAUUUCACAAUUUAAUACGUAUUAUUAAAAGAAAUUAGAAACAAUUAUCAAAAAAUUAUGAUAGAUAAUAUAUUAAACUCGUCUAGUGUGUGUGUAUUUUUGAAGGAUAGUGUGUGUGUGUAUUAACAUCAUUCUCUAAUUAUUUUUGUAGGGAAACAAUGUUGGUUAAAUUGAUGUGUACUUUUUUUUGUAAAAAAUAAUCGACGUAUUUUUAAAUGAGAUUUACAUGUAGAGAGAGACAGCGGUAGACAUAGUAGUAGAACAAUUAAAAUUUAAAAGACCACUUUACAAAUUGCACCAAGUGGUCCUCUAAAAAAGAUCACCGACAGUUGCUUCACUUUACCUUCAUAUAUUUUAGAGCAAUGAUAUUUGAACAAUUAUUUAGUACAACAUUUUUUGACAAUCUUCUUUUUCUCUCUUUUUAUUGGUCAAAAAUAAUGAAGAGAAAAAAGAAGAGAUAGAGUAAAAAUAUAAUAUGAAUAUGAGAAAAAAAAUUGUCUAAAAAUUAUCACAAAAUGGUUGUACAAAUAUUAUUUCUCCAUAUUUUAGACACAGGCUAAUCAUUAAUUAAUUUGUGUAAAAAAAAACAAUAAUAUUAUUUUGACAACAUUAUUCAACACCUUAUCUUUCUUUCAAAAAACAUUAUUCAACACCUUAUGUUCAUAUUAUCAUUUGAUUUUCUUAAUUAUGUUUUACAUCAGUCACAUCAAGUGACAUUUUACACGCUUAUCAAUUUUUUUUGUCAAGUAGCCUAGUGUUUAGAACUCAUAUAAUUUAAUUGUGAAGAAAUGAAGUGUCAGAGAUUCGAACUCCAACCCCUGCAUAUAAUAUGCAAUAUCCCUACCAACUGAACUAAGCUCACGAAGAUCGCGGUUAUCAAUUUUUGUAGUUCAAAUAACAUCACUAAAAAAAGCUACGAGGCAGACGCACAAAUUUUCAUUGAGCAGUUGUGUUAAUUAAUUUUAUAACGCAAGGAAAAUGGUGAAGUUUUUGUGAAUAGAGAAAUGAUAUAUAUACAAUCAUUUUCAAACAACUUUUGUAAUAACUUUAUCUCUCAUUUUUAUAUUUUAUUUUUAUUUUUUUCUCUAUUAUUUUGGUUUUCGUUUAUGAUUUUUUGUAAGAAAAUGAUUGUCUAUGUAGUUAUCAAUCACAUUGAUGUUCAAAUAACAUUGCUUUUGUGAAUAAUGCAAAAUAGUUUCUCGGAACAAUCAAUUAUUCAAUUGAUAUUUACGAAAUUAGUUUUUGUAGGGUGUCCCUAUAAAUCACAUAUACUUUAAAACAGUCAUAUGUAUUCACGAUUCGAGAUCUUAUAAAAAAACCAUUCCAGAUCAUGUAUGAAAAUGAAAUAUAUAUUUUUUUUGACUGGUGUAUGAAAAUGAAAUAUUUUCAAAAAUAAAAUAUACUCUCUGCCCAUAUAAUGUCAGCGUAGGUGUCGGUGUUUUUCUACCGACUAUAAGAAAAACUGUAAAAUAAAUAAAACAAUAUAGUAAUUUAAAUUAGUGAUUGUAAAUUAUUGUCUUAAAUGUAUAGUUCAAUAUAAUAGAUUAAAAAUGAUGAAAAAAAUAUUAAUUUAAGAGUAGAAUUGAAAUAACAUAUAUGUUUUCGAUAGUUUAACUAAAUUGAUAAAGACAUUGCAUAAUAAUAUACAAGUGUUUUGAAAUUCCAUUUAUUCAUUACAUGUGAAUUUUUAGAUAUUAAACUAUUUGGAAAAUAAAAUAAAAUAUCAAAUAAUUAAGGUUUAAAUAUGUAAGUAGUCCCUGUAAUUUCGCGUAUUUUUGUUUUCGUUCCUGUAAGUUAUUUUGUUCUAAAACAAACUCUGUAUUUUGCUAACCUUUUGGAAAAGGUCCUUGCCGUCAGCUUCCGUCAACAAAAACGCCAUGGUGGCUAACGGAGCACACGUGGCAGUUCAUGAGUUGGCAAAGUUGAUGAGAUGGAAUGAGAGAUGAUAAGUUGUUAAAAUACAGGGACUAAAAUCAAAAACGUAAAUUGACACAGGGAUGAAAUUAAAAAAACGUUUAAUCUUCUUUUUCCUCUCAAAUUUCAGUCUUCUUCUUCCUCUCAAACUUUCCCCAAUCUAUCCCAUACCUUGCGCCCUUGAACCAAAACUCAUAUCCUUCAACAAUUUAUUCUAAUUCCAUUACUCAAUCAUAUUGUGUGUUUUGAUUGUAAUGUUAAGUUGAAACAUUGUAUGCUACUUAAGUUUGAUUAAUUUAGUGAUGGUUGUUGCGAUUGAUUGCAAAUUCAUUCAUAAAGUUUGUAGAUAAUAAAGGCAAGAAUACAUCUUUUUCAUCCCUCUUUUUUUUCCACAAUUCCCUCUUAUUCUUCCAGAUUGCUACAAUUACCAUACAUAAAUAGUCAGAUCCCCUUUCAUCUUUUCUCACUCACAUUCAAAUUCAAACUCUAAUUUCUCAAAUUUUUGCUUUUGAAUUGUGUAAUUUUGUGUUUUUAUGUAAUUGGUGUAGAGAGUUUAUGUUGUUUUAAUGUGUUGAUUAAGAGUGGGUCUUGUUGUUGUUGAUUGAUGAUUAUUAGUUUUGUUUAAAAAAAUAUAUAUGUUUGUUGUUUUCUUUCUUUUCCUGGGUUUGGUGUUGAUGAUUUAUGAAUAUGGUGAUGAAGAUGAAGAAGACAAUGAAGGAAGAAGAAGAAUAAGAUCUUGAUUUUAAAUUUGAAAUUUUGAUUUUACGUUUUUUAUUUUAGUCCCUGUGGUAAUUUACGCUUUUGAUUUUAGUCCCUGACUUUACACAACUAAUCAUCUCUCAUGCCAUCUCAUCAAAUGUGCCAAGUCAUGACCUGCCACCUGUGCUCCGUUAGCCACAAUGGCGUUUUUGUUGACAGAAGCUGAUGGUAAGGACCAUUUUCAAAAGGUCAAAAAGAUACAAGGUUUAUUUUAUAUAAAAAAAAAAACUUACAAGGACGAAAACAAAAAAUACGCGAACUUAGAGGAACCUUUUACAUAUUUAAGCCAAUAACUAAUAGCACUUAUUUUGGUACAUUUCUCUUUUGCAAAUGUGAAACUUAAUAUUGGAUGGGGUCAAUAAUUUUGAGAAUGAAUAAACCCAUUAUUUAGUCUUUUAAUUUUUUUUUUCCAUCCAUCAGGUUUCUAAACUAUUUACAAACACUAAAUGUCCUUAAGACAUAGCUCAAGUAACAAUAUUGAUAUUGAGAAGUUGGAUAUUUUCAUCCGAGUUUGAACUCGAAUUCUUGCAAUUACGAGUGUGAAUUUCAGGUAAUUUAUAUCAAUUUAUCUGUAAACAAAAGGAGAUAUAUACGCGUAACAAAUAGGUCUAAUGCAAAUUAACAACUUAUUUUUAGUUUAUAAAAUAUAUGAAAUUUAAUCCUUUAGUCCCUAGUAUAUUUUAACAAUGGGCACUAAAGCAACAUAUAUUUCAUAUAUUUUAAAUACUACUACAUCUUUCCUUAUGUAUAAGCUCAUUUGACAUUUUCACAUAUAUUAAAAAAGUUAGUAGUGUCUUGACAAAAAAGAAGCUCCUUAGAGUUUCCUUAUGUAUAUUUUUUUAAACCGAAAAAAUUGUGUACAAAAAAUGACUAUUAUUACUAAAAAAAAUCUUUUGCAUAUAGAUGUGUUCAACAUUUAUUUUGCAAUUCUCAAGACAAAUCAGUGGUACAUCUUAAUAAGUGAUAUAUUUGUUAGGAAAAAAAAUUACUAUAUGUAUCUAGUUAUUUGCAAGACUAAUGAUUCUUAGCAAAUAUGCUUAUAUUGAGAGAACUUUUUUCUAAAGAGAGCUUAUAAUUAGAGACUAAGAUUUUGCCAAAAAAUAAAGAAAAAUUAGAGAAUAAGGUUUAUACUAUACUUUAGAAACUAAUUUGAUGAGAUACGACUAAAUCGAAGAUAUAUUUUUUUAGAAUAGUGUUAGAACCUUAGAAAUUAUAAUCAAUAGAAAUAGAAAUGUUCCUUACAGAUCCAUAAUAGUGACAAUCUUGUCUUUUCUUUUGAGGAAAUAAUAAUAAAGGUGGUGCCAACAUUUCAACAAACCUAGCUAUUUUAAUUAUUCUGUUCUCACAGCCUGCACCUUAGAUCAAAUCCAAAUUGGGUCAUCACCGUUCCAAAAUGCUUAGGGACGUUACUCUAAAUGUCAAUAUGAAUGAGUAAUUCAAAUAGUUAACAUAGCCCGCCAGCCUUAUAUAAUAAUAUCAAUAUAUGUCGACUAAUUAUCGAGAUGCUAAAUUGGAGUACACUUCACAAACAAAAAUCUUUCAUAAGGCGUUUUUUCUCUUAAUACAUUUUUUCUUUUCUUAUGCUAGUAACAUUUACUCUGUAUUGGCCUUCCUAAGAAGAAGUUGGAUAGUAGCAAUGUGUUCGUGAGACUGCUGAUAUCUUAAAAGAAUGUUCUCAUAGAUUCCACUUUUUUAGUAAGCUUUUAUGUGUAUGAGUUUGCAAAUUUAACCCUUUUUAAUUCGGAUAGAUUUAUAAGUCACACCUUCAAGUACAAUCGACAAAAUUUCAGUAAUAAUUACGGUUUAGGGUUUAUGGGUCUAGAUCUACUAAAAAUGAGUGGGUGUAUAAAUUAGUAUAUCCUAGAGUUUAUUAUCUUACGUUCGAUCUUCUUUGCAGAAACUCGUGCAUGUUCGUGAUAUAUAUUUUCGCGAGAAGUACAUUUCCCUAAAACAAAAUCAACCACUGACAUAAACACGUCAAAUGUAAGCCGGUAAAUCCAAGCUUUACUAACACGAGUUAUAUUAUAUCAUUGGCAUCAGCUACUUAAGAACUACUGUAGAAAAUUUACAGCAAGUCAUCGAGGCUUAAUAAAAUGUGUUGAUAUAGUUACAAAGAUAAAUUAAAUAGCAGAGCAUACAUGAAGAGAACAAAUGUAGAGCAACCCCUUAAACAAACCCUCUCAGUAAGGUAUCUUCACAUUACUCUAAGUUCAUAAAAGAUGACUUUAAAAACGAUUAUUUCAAAAUGCAAGUAUUCUCCGACCCCUUUUUCCCGGAUCUAGAUCUAAUAGUGUAAGGAUAUAUAUAAAUCAUUGUCACAUUUUACAACUCAAGAGUUUACCUCAACUCGUUUUGUUUAGGUAAAUUCGACUCGAGAACUCGUAUGACUUUACCUAAAAUUAAAAUUAUAUAAAAUUUAUUAUAUAUGCAUGACAUAUGUAAGUUAAUAUAAUAUUGUAAAUAGGUCAAUAGUGCAAAAUAUGACUUAAUUACAAAGACAAAUUAUACCAUAAUAAAAUGUUAUGCUCAACUUAGCUUCAAAAUACAAAAAUUAACGCACAAAAUCAUAAGUCUCUAAGUUUAAGCCAUCCAUAAAACCAUCCAAAAAAAGAAAGUUUCACAAGUUCCUAAAGUUAUUAAUAAAACUAUCUAAAAAAUAAAGUAGUUAAUUUCUUCAAAACGUCAACAAACACCACCACAACAACCCUAACCAGUGUCACAAUCACCGGCGUUGAAAUAUGAAUUUCCACCGUCUGAAUCACAACCCUAAAUGGUAUGUGCUCCCCUGUUCAUGGUUUGAGAACUUAGAAAAGAAAAAGGGCAAUCCGGUGCACUAAAGCUCCCACAUACGCAGGGUCCGGGAAGGGGUCCCACCAUUUUUUGUGUAUUGUACGCAACCUUACCCUGUUUUUGAUCACAAAAGAAAAAGAAACGUUUCAUUUUAGGAACAACUUGUCACUGUAAAGGUAACUAUUAAUUAAACGUUUCAGUCUUUGGGGUUGUAGAAAAGGAAUUGGAUUUUGAAAAAAAUGGGCACAUAAAAAGGGCCAAUUUUUAGAUGUAAACUCGUAAAACUCAGUAAACUCGGUCGAGUUUACACGAGUUUACCUAGUGUUAACUCGGUCAAACUCGUUAAACCUUCCAAUUUUACCAGAAACCGAGUUUACCUCCGAAUUAACAUGAUUUUGGCACCUACGUAAACUCGAAGAGUUAACACUCAAUUUGCGGAACAUUGCAUAUAUAUUUAAAGAUAUAUGUAUAAUUAUAGAGAAAGUAGAGAAGGGAUAUACCAUUUUAUGUAGGGUUAUUAUGUAUCAAAUCAUAAAGAGUCGAGAGUUGUAUUAUACCAUAAUAUUCUUCCGUAAACUGGUAGUCAUGAUCAUGACGUAUAUUAUUCAAGUAUAUGCAAAAACAUGUCUGUAUCUAGUCUAAAUUUUUGACCAAAUGCAUGUAUUUGCUUAUAUUUUGUUACUACUUACUACUCGCCAAGUAAUGCUCAAUAUCUAAUAUAUAUAUUUCAAGACCAUCAAAGAUAACUCAGUUGAACAAUACAUAAUAUAUGCAAGGUUCGGGGUAUAUUACAUUUUCAAUUAUUCUAAUAAUAAAUUUAAAUGACACUUAAAUUAUACAACUAUUAAAUAGAUCUUAGUACCGUAAAAUUUAUAUUCGAGACUUGCUAGGGAGAACCAUCAACCUCAACAAAAAUUUCUACUUGAAUCUAACGCAAACAAAAGGUCCAACCAUCUAUGAAUCUCCGUUGAUAUCACAAAUGAUGUUUGAUACAAGAGAGACAUAUUAGAACAUAAUCUAUGUACAAUCUACAUUAAAAUAAAAAACAAGUCUACAGUCAUAUAAAUAACACAAUUUCAAAAUCUCAAAAUUAGGUAUGAAAACAAAAUGAUUAGAAAAAUAAAUGAUUCAAUCAUUCCGAGAUUUGUGCAAAAAAAAAAAAAAAAACAUUUUGAAAAUACAAUGUUAGAAACUUAUGAUCAAUAUAUAUUUUUCCUUACACAUCAAAAAUAAUUAAGCUAUAUUCUUGUCUUUUCAUUUUGGGCAAACUAAAAUUAAAAUCAAGGUAGUGUCAAUGUUUCUAUAGUCCUAGCUAUUUGAUUUUCUUCUAAGCUAACAAGAGUCUUCCAAAAUCAAAUUCGCGCUCAAAAUUAAAGCAACUUGGGUGGUAACCAUUCCAAAAUACUUAGGGCCACAUUGCUCUAAAAGUCAAUAAGAAUAAGUAAUAAUUCAAAGAUAGCCAACCUUAUAGUAUAUUUUAAUAUGAAUGUAUGCAUGUUUCCUAGAAGGUGAGUAAGCUAACUAAUCAAGAUACUUUGUUGGAGUUAAAUAUGGUAAAGAAUCCAACUAUAAAAUGGGGACUUGCCCCAGCAUUCUUUCACAAACCAAAACCAACUUCUAAGAAAAAAAUGAGGUCCCUAAUGGCCUCUGCUUCUCUCACUCUUGCAUUAGCCAUCCUCUUUUUGAGUUUCCCAUCUGAAAUUUCAGCAAACAAAUACGCAUAUUCCUCUCCACCACCACCACAUUACUCAUCUCCUCCACCUCCACCGGUUCACACUUACCCUAAACCAGUCUACCACUCUCCACCACCACCAGUUCACACCUACCCUAAACCAGUUUACCACUCUCCACCACCACCAGUUCACAAGUACCCUCACCCUAAACCAGUAUACCACUCUCCACCACCCCCAGUUCACAAGUACCCUCAUCCACACCCAGUCUACCAUUCUCCACCACCCCCAGUUCACAAGUACCCCCAUCCUCACCCAGUGUACCACUCUCCCCCACCACCACCACCAAAGAAGUCCUACAAAUACCCAUCUCCCCCACCACCACCAGUUCACACCUACCCUAAACCAGUCUACCACUCUCCUCCACCCCCAGUUCAUCACACCUACCCUAAACCAGUCUACCACUCUCCUCCACCCCCAGUUCACACCUACCCUCACCCUAAACCAGUCUACCACUCUCCACCACCCCCAGUUCACACUUACCCUAAACCAGUCUACCACUCCCCACCACCACCAGUUCACACCUACGUCCCUCACCCUAAGCCAGUCUACCACUCUCCACCACCACCAGUUCACACCUAUCCCCCACAUGUUCCCCACCCAGUUUACCAUUCUCCUCCUCCUCCAGUUCAUUCCCCACCUCCACCACACUAUUACUACAAAUCACCUCCUCCACCUUACCACAACUAGAUAGCCCAUAAUUGGCAUCACACCAUAUGGUAACUUUUCAUGCAACAUAUAUAUUAUAACUUUUCAUAUUCUCUCUUUAUUAACUAGUUAUCGGUAUGAUUGUCGAGUAUAUACUAACAAGGCUAAUUUGAAAUGAAACUUCAUGUGCAAUGAAACAUUCUUUUACUGGUUAAUAUUUUAUUCUAUGUUUCAUUGAAAUUAAUAUUUUUCUAAUAGUAUUUGGUUAUUAAGGGAUUAGAGUAUAUCAGACAUAAACUGACAGAUCAAUAUAUUUGCAUUUGUGUAGGAUCUAAAC